RNAcentral lists this long non-coding RNA (78806 nucleotides) under Solanum tuberosum (potato). RNAcentral describes it as "long non-coding RNA (STUB_LNC007935)". The record is from RNAcentral. Lineage: Eukaryota; Viridiplantae; Streptophyta; Magnoliopsida; Solanales; Solanaceae.
UCUCAAGAUGAAAAUAAUUGUAGUACUAAGACAUCAUCGUUGAGGUUGAGAUUCAAGAAUUCGUGUUUGAGGAAGAAAAAGAGAAUAUACAAAUUGCGCAAUUGGUUCAUUGACUCAAUUUUAUUCAAGAUUGCCUCUCUCUUUGAAGCAAUUGUUAUGGUUUCUACCUUAGCUUUCUUCUUAUUCUCUUAUGGUUUUCGUAUUUGAUUCGUAUUUAUAUUUUUAUAUAUAUUCUCUGUAAACCAAGGGUUCAUUAUUAUUGGACAAAAGUUGAUAUCUAAUAGGGGUAUAAGGUUCAUUUGAUUUAUUAAUUUAGUUUUCUUUAUUGAUAUUCUCAUGUUUAUACACUAGGAUUCCCAUUUUGCCGUUUAGUUUUUCGAUUUAGAUAUUUUCAAUAAAAUACAUAAUUCAAUAAAUAAGUAAAUAACAUAUAUAAUGAGAUUUUAACAUCAAAAUAUGAGAUUUUGAUUGGUAAAUGGUAAGAUUUUCAAGAACUCAAAUUUUUAGCUUAAAUGGAGAUUUUGACCUCCAAGUAGGUCCCUUUUCAAAAUAAUUUUUCACCAAUGAGUUUCUAAAGUUUUGAGUAUUGCUUUCAAGUAUUAAAUUUCGGAUUCAAACUUUUCCUUUUGAAAUUGGGUUUGAGUGAGUUGACCCAUUGUGCUAAGCAAUUGAUGUGGGUAUUGUUGUUUCCGGAAAGUGAUUGUGGAUACUUGCUUGUAUAUUGAUUGAUUUAAGACAAGCGAUCUCCUAAACCUUGUAUUCUAGUAGAAUCGUGUAUUCCCUUUGUUGUUUGUGUAUUGGAAAUAAUGGGGAUGGGGUGAAAGGUUAAUUGUCCACUUGAUAAAUCUUAAUGGAUAGAAAGGGUUGAAAUUGAAAAGGUUAUGUGAUGAACAAGAUGAUGUGAAUUGCCUUGUUGUGACCCUUAUUGAUUGAUUGAUGAAAUGCUUGAUAGCAUAAAUGUGGACUUGAUUUGCAUGAAUUAUUGUCUCUUCCAUGUGGUGUGAUAUUGCGUGUGUGCAUUGAUGGUUGAACACUGUGAUGUGGCAUGUGAUGUUUAUGAUUCUGAGGUCAUCGCCGGUGAGUGCUAUUAUUCCUAGGUCAUUUCCGGCAAGUGUUGUGAUUCCAAAGUCAUUUCCGGCUAGAGGAUUGAUAUAAAACCGAUGGAAAAUGGUUCCGGCUAGAGAUAUGGUACCGAUGCUACUUGAUUCGUUUGAUUGUUGAAUUGUGACUAUUGAACUGUAAUUAUUGAGCCUUGCGAGUUGUGCAUUGUAGAACUGCUAGGUUGGGCUGAUUUCUGUGAAAGUUGUAGUAUGAGGAGGUUCGAUUGGAAUGUAAGGGGUAUUCAAUUUCUAGGUAGAUGCCUUGUUUAUUAGGUUGCACUCCUUAUUUCUACACUUGUGUAGGUUCCGAGCCCGGUUUAGCGUGAUCGUCCUUCUUCUCUUACCUUUUUAGGCUUAUCAAAGGACUAUCGAGAGUAACUUUUGUCAUCCCGGCGGGCCCUCUUUUCCUUUUCUUUAAGCUUUGUUCUAAUUGAGAAUCAAAGAUUGAGAUUUGUACUUAUUUCUUAAUUUCACACUUUAUGUAUUUAGUGGUUUGUACACGUGACAACAAGAUUUUGAGGGUUUUAAUAGAAAAAAUAAGUUUUUCUGUUUUAUCUUGUUCUUGCUUUAUUAUUUUCCGCAUUUCUUUCAUUUUCGUUGGGUUGAGACUAACUUGUCUUGGUGGGAAUAUACAAGUGUCCUCGCGUCUAUGUUUGGGUCGUGACAUCAUCAUAGAGUAGUUCCUUAAAUCAUGAUUCAUACAUGUGUGAGAAAACUAUUGACCAAUCAAGAUUUCUUAAUAUGUGAGAAAACAUUUCACAAUUCAUGCAUAUGUGAGAAAACCUUUCAUCGAUGAUUUUCUUAAAGGCAACCUUAAUUCAUAAAACUUAAGCAUAUAGCAUGAGAGUUGAGUAAUUUGAAGGAAAAAAAUGUGUUUGCAACAAAAGUAGAAAUUCAUAUCUUCCCAAUAAAUUAAAUUAGGAAAAAGGAAUAAAGAAGAAUAAAUUAUAGUGUUGACACUAUACAUCUCAACUUAGGUUAGUACAUAAUUAACACAUUUAAUCAUCGUUUAUAAUGUUUUGAACCUGUUAUUAUCAUUUCAAAGUAUAUAGCCGCUAAUAGUACUUAUUAUUAUUAUUAUUAUCAACAAAUUAAAGAGAGGGUCUCCAUAGGCAGAUUUUUGAUAGAAUUUAUUACUAGCUAAUAUCCCCAAGUUAUUUUUAUUUGUUAAUUUAUUACAUAAGAUAAAUUUAUUUUAUUUUCAAAAUAAAAAUCUCACUUUUUAUGAAAAUUAUUUAUAACUAUAUUCUAGAUAACUUGAUGAUAUAAUAAUUUUUUUAAAAUAUAUAUAUUAAUCUAUGAUAUUACAAGUAAAUAUUAUUUUUUUCUAUUUGAGCAACAAAUAGAAUAAAGAUAUAUUAAUUUACACAAUCUCAAAAUUUUGAUGUGAGGGCAGAUAUGGUAAAGUUGAUAAUAUAAGAUAUAACAGUAGUUUUUGUUGGGAAAGGCAAGGCACUAUCAAAGAAUGCUCGGAAGGAUAGCAGCGGAAAAAUAUCAAAGUCUAAACUUUCCCUUACAAUUUGAAUCAAUAGAAGAAAAAACUAAAUCAAUCAAUACGAAGAAUCGACAACAAGUAUAUCAACCAAACAAAAACAAUAAGAUAAGAAUAAAUCAAUCACACAAGACACAAAGAUUUACAUGAAAAACUCUUCGAUGUGAAGAGUAAAAAAUCACAGGACCAAAAGCUCCACUAUAACCCCAAGAGUUGCAAUAUUGUUCUCCAAAAUUGGCCACAAAAGAAGUGCCAAAUAACUAGCAAUAACGAAAUAAGAUUGCACCAAAACUAGAGAAUUAAAGGAGAGAAUCCACUAAAAAAGAGCUAUUGUUCACACCCCAAAAUCAAAAGCUACAGAUAACUAAAUCUAAUCUCCACCGUUGAAAUACAAGAAUUAUAUAGUGAAAACUCCCGGUUCAAAUUUGUGUACGAUCCAACGGUUAACGAAGUGAAGUACUCUGUUUAAAGUGGACUGCCUGUGCAGAAAAUUCCUUGAAGCAAAAACAUGAUUUUUCUCUUUCUCUCAAUCUCUAAAACAACUCUCUCUUGACUUUUUUCUCUCAUUUGUCUCAAAAUAAUACCUAAAUAAGCCUUAUAUAUGCCACAUAAUAUUGGUAUUAUGGGUUAAAGUGGCUGGUCUAAAUAAGACUUUUAUUUAUCCACACCGAAAAGAAAAAAGAUCCUAAAUCCAACAAUUCUCCGCCUCACAACUAUGUGGAGGAGACCGCCAUCCUGGCGAUCAAGCAACAUUCUUUAAACUUCCCUCUUAGCAAAACUUUAGUCAUCAUGUCAGACCCAUUUUCAUCUGUAUGAAUCUUUUCAAACUCAAGCAACUUAGAAUCCAACACAUGUCAAAUCCAAUGGUACCUUACAUCAAUGUAUUUAGACCGACCAUGAAACAUAGAAUUCUUGCCAAGAUGAAUAACUCUUUGACUGUCGCAAUAAAGCACAUACCUCUCUUGAGCACAACUAAGUUUUCCAAAAAUCUCUUCAUCUAGAUCAACUCUUUGCAAGCUUCUACAAAAGCAAUAAGCUCGGCUUCUGCAGAUAAAUCAAAGCAUUUUUGCAACCUAGAUUGCCAUGACACAGCUUCCCUUGCAAAAGUAAUCAAGUAGUCUGAAGUAAACUCACGAGUAUCAACAUUAUCAGCCAUACCAGAAUCAAUGUAACCACAAAUAAAAGGAUUCCCUAUACCAAAACACAAACUAGAAGUGCCACAAAGAUAUCUCAUAACCCACUUCACUGCAUUCCAAUGUUUUCUUCCCAAAUUAGAGAGAAAACGGCUAACAACAACAACAACGUAUGCAAUAUUCGCUCUUGUACAAAUCAUUGCAUACAUCAAACUACCAAAAGCUGAAGCAUAAGAAACUUUCUUCAAAUCUUCCCUCUCAUCAUAGCUAGAAUGACACUGCUGCUUCAUGCUCAAUUUGAAGUGCAUAGCUAAAGGUGCAUUGACAACCUUAGCUUUGUCGAUGUUGAAUCUGCGAAGUACUUUUUAAAUGUACUUCUCUUGUGAUAACCACAACUUCUUGUCCUCUCUGUCACAGACAAUCUGCAUACCAAGAAUCUGCCUUGCUGGUCCCAAGUCUUUCAUAGUAAAAGACUUACUCAACUCUUGCUUUAACUUCUGAAUCCUGCAAGUAUUAUGACCAACAACAAGCAUGCCAUCAACAUAAAGCAACACAAUAAUAAAGUCACCACCAAAGAAUUUUUGCACAAAAACACAAUGGUCUGAAGAAGUCUUCUUGAAGCCCUACUGACUCAUAAAAAAAACAAACUUUCUAUACCAUUUUCACUGUAUUCCAAUGUUUUCUUCCCAAAUUAGAGAGAAAACGGCUAACAACAACAACAACGUAAGCAAUUUUCGCUCUUGUACAAAUCAUCGCAUAUAUCAAACUACCAAAAACUGAAGCAUAAGAAACUUUCUUCAGAUCUUCCUUCUCAUCAUAACUAGAAUGACACUGCUGCUUCGUGCUCAAUUUGAAGUGCAUAGCUAAAGGUACAUUGACAACCUUAGCUUUGUCGAUGUUGAAUCUGUGAAGUACUUUUUAAAUGUACUUCUCUUGUGAUAACCACAACUUCUUGUCCUCUCUGUCACAGACAAUCUGCAUACCAAGAAUCUGCCUUGCUGGUCCCAAGUCUUUCAUAGUAAAAGACUUACUCAACUCUUGCUUUAACUUCUGAAUCCUGCAAGUAUUAUGACCAACAACAAGCAUGCCAUCAACAUAAAGCAACACAAUAAUAAAGUCACCACCAAAGAAUUUUUGCACAAAAACACAAUGGUCUGAAGAAGUCUUCUUGAAGCCCUACUGACUCAUAAAAGAACCAAACUUUCUAUACCAUUUUCUAAGAGCUUGUUUCAAACCAUACAAGUUCUUCUUCAAUUUGAAAACAUAAUUCUUUUUACCCUUUACUUCAAAACCUUCUGGCUGCUCCAUAUAAUUUUUUUCAUUCAAGUCAUCAUGGAAAAAAGCAGUUUUAACAUCCAUUUGCUCAACCUCUAAAUCUAGACUUGCAGCCAAGCCUAGAUUCACACAAAUGGAUGACAUCUUCACAAUUAGAGAACAUCUCAUCAAAAUCAACUCCCAUUUUCUGGUUAAAUCCCUUCAGAACUAAUUUAGAUUUGUACCGUAGAAUUGGAAUACCUUCUUCAUGUUUACCUAGAAAAUCCACAUGUUUUUAAAGCCUUUCGAUAUUUAGGUAACAUAACCAAAUUGAAGGUGUGAUUAUCAUAUUAGGAUUUAAUUUCAUCUUCCAUUUCAUUAAACCACCUUUCGUUUUAUUCACUUUACAUGGCCUCAUCAAGACUCUUAUCUUUUCCCCCAUCAGUCAAUAGUACAUACUCAUUAGGAGAAUAACGAGAUGAAAAAAUUCUCUCUCUAGCAGGUCGUCUGAGAGAAAUCUCCGAAUCAUCAAUAAUUGGUUCUGGGUCACCAACAUCAUCUACCAAUGGAGAAUCAACAACAUCAUACUGGUAAUUUUGAACAUGAUCACCAUCUUCAUUAACAACUUGACUUUCAUCAUUAUGAAGAGUUUCUUCAGUGCAAUAGUCAAAGGAACUGGAUCAACAUCAAUUAGGCUCUUAGUGCUCUGAGAAUCAACUUUCUUGGCUUUGUCAAGAUCUUCAAUUGUUUGGUCUUCAAAGAACACAACAUCACGACUUCUAACAGUUUUUCUCAACUAGCCAAAUUCAUCUUGAUCAUAACAAAGGUACAUUGCCUAGUUUUGACAUACAACUUUGACAUCUCAUCCUUAGCAACAUGCACAAAGGUUUUACACCUAAAAACUUUAGGAUGAUCAUAAGAGACAUUCUUACCAGAUCAAACUUGUCAGGGACAUGACCAUUCAAAGCAAGAGUAAGAGAUAAAUUGAUAACAUAGGUAGAAAUAUUAAGUGCUUCCGUCCAAAAGGAAUCUGGUUGUUUAGCAUCUGAAAGCAUACAUUUAACCCUCUCAAAUAGAGUUUUGUUCAUCCUCUUUGCUAAACCAUUUAGCUAAGACAUAUUUGAAGGAUUUUUUUUAUGCCAACUACCCUGCUCACUGCAAUAUCUAUCAAAAGAAUCAAUAUACUCAUCAUCAUUAUCAAAACGGAUGUGUUUUAAUUUCCUUCCUGUUUGUCUCUCAACCAAGGCCUGAAAACUCUUAAACGCAUCAAGGACUUGACCCUUGAACUUCAAAGAGAAUACCUAGAGUUUGCAAGAAUGAUCAUCAAUAAAAGUCACAAAGUAAAGUGCACCACCAUGAUACUUUUCCUUAAAAGAACCACACAAAAUAAAAUUUACCAACUCCAGCAAAUCAAGCUUCCUUGAAGGCAUAUGACUCUGAAAAGAAACUCUUUUUUGUUUAUCGGCUAAGCAAUGAACACAUUUGUUCAACUUUUCUUGUUUCACUCCAGAAAGCAAAUUCUUCUUAGUCAAUUUUUUCAUUCCCUUCUUGCUCAUAUGACUCAGUCUUUUAUGCCAUGACUAUGAUGAAGUAUCAUUCUCCACCAAAUUUAUCAAGCCUAUAAAAAUGGAGCCCUAGAAUACGUACAAGUUAGACAACUUGUCACCACAAUCCAAAACCAUCGAAUCUCUAGUAAGCUUCCACUGGCCAGCACCAAGGGUAUAAACAUAACCCUCAUCAUCAAGGUAUCCCUCAGAAAUCAAAUUCAAGCGAACCUCUAGAGGAUGUUAUAAUAUUAUUGAAGACUAGUUUGGAUCUAUUGUUACUUUUCAAACAAACAGUCGCAAUGCCAAGAACUGCAACCUCAUGAUUAUUGUCCAUUUUCAGCAUGCCACAAUUACCUGGAGUAUAAGAAGAAAAUAAUUUCUUUUUUGGAGUGACAUGAGAAGUAGCACCAGACUCCACAAACCAGCUAAACUCAUCACGAACAAGAUUGACAAAAUUUUCAUCACAAAAAUAAGAAGAUCAUCAUUAGCAGCAACAACAACACAAUUUUCAUUAUCGCCUUCUUUCUUUUGUUCUCUCAUAUAUCACUUAUACCUAAAGCAAUAUUUUUUUAUAUGCCCAUUCUUGUGGCAAUAGUCACAUGUAACAUUCUUAUAUUUAGACUUUGACUUACCUCUACUUUUAUAUCUGCAUUCUAACCUCUGAACUUGCUUCUCCCCUGUCUUCAGUAACCAAAACAUCGAAGUGUGAAGUAGAAGAAGAUAAGCCUUGAGGUCUUCUUCUCUUCUCUUCAUUCAAGACAUCAUUCUUAGCAUAUUCUAUAGUUACAACACCACUAGGAGCAUAAUUAGUCAAAGAAAUUCAAAGAGUUUUCCAAGAGUCUGGCAAAGUGUUAAGAAGUAAAAGUCCAUGUAUCUCUUCAUCGAACUUUUCAUUCAUUUCGGACAACUAGUCAAGAACACCUUGAAAAUUAUUAAUAUGAUCAGAAAUAUGAGUGUCCUCUUUAUACUUGAUGUUCAUUAAUUGUUUAAAUAGAAAUAACUUAUUGUUGUCAGUCUUUGAAGCAUAGAGUGUCUCAAGCUUGUCCCAAAAUCUUCUAGCAUGUGUCUUAUUCACAAUGUGAUUUCUAACAUUAUCUUCAACCCAUUGUCUGAUAUAGCCACAAACAUGUAAGUGCUCAAAUUCUUAUUCCUGAUCCAUCAUGGAUUGAGGCUUAUUAGAAACAAACACAGGUAAAUGCAUCUUUUUUUAAAAUAGAAGAUCUUUCAUCUUGCCUUUUCAAGUAUGAUAGUUACUACCAUUCAAACAAACCAUCUUGCUCAUAUUUUUCUCCACCGUUCAAAUCGAUAAUCAACAAUAACCUUAUGCUAUGAUAACACUUUGUUGGAAAAGGAAAUGCACUAACAAAGAAUGCCCGAUAAUAUAGCAACAGAAAAAUACCCAAGUCUAAACUUUUCCUUUAAGUUUGAAUCAAGUGAAGACAAACUAGAUCAAGCAGUACGAAGAAUUGACAUCAAGUAUAUCAACCAAACAACAACAACAACAACAACAAGAUAAGAAUAAACAAACACACAAGACACAAAAAUUUACAUGGAAAACCCUUCAAUGCGAAGAAUAAAAACCACAUGACCAAAAGCUCCACUAUAAUAACCAAGAGUUACAAUAUUUUUCUCCAAAUAUAGCCACAAAAUAAGUGUCCAACAAUGAGUAUCAACGAAACAAGAUUGCACCAAAACUAGAGAAUUAAAGGAGAGAAUUCACCAAAAAAUGAGCUACUAUUCAUAACAAAAAAUCCAAAUCUAAAGACAACCAGAUCCGAUCUCCACCGUUGAAAUGCAAGAACCAUAUGUUGAAAACUCCCAGUUUAAAUUUGAGCACGAUCCAAUGGUUAACGAAGCAAUAAACUGUGUUUAAACUAGACAACUUGAGCAGAAAAUUUCUUGAAACAAAAACGAGAUUUUUCUCUCGUUCUUUCAAUCUCUAAAUGCCUCUCUUUCUAUUUCUCUCUCUUGUGUGCCUGAAAAUAAGACCUAAAUAAGCCGUAUAUAUGCCACAUAAUAUUGACAUUUAUUUAUUCACAUAGGAAGGAAAAAAUCCUACACCCACUAUUUUAACUCAAACUCAAUAUUUAUUUUAAAUUUUAAUCAACAUCUAUAAAUUUUCAAUUUCAAAUGAUCAUAUCAAUUAACUUAAAGAAUGUUAUUUUCUCUCGUUCAUAACUUCAUAUUGAAUUGUGCUUUUAAUUUAGGCAAACCCCUUUUAAAAUCUACUAUUUUCUAAAAAUUAAAAGUGUAUCUUGGUUUAAAUAUAAAAAAAUCACUUAUCUAAAUAAGGAUAAUAAAAAAGAAAUAAUUAAUUCCUUUUUAGUUAUGUGAAACACUAUUUAUUUUGAACUAAAAUAGAAAAAUAAAAUUAUCAUUUAAUUAGACUAGGAGGGAGUAAAAUAAACAUCAAAUCUUGUAUUAGGCACACAUUAUUUAUACGCUUCCUUGGAGUAGCAUCCAUCCUCCUACUUUUUUAUUUUUGACUUUUCCAUAAAAAUACCUUUAUUCCAAUCUUAUAUAUCUAUAUAUACCAAAACCCCUCAUUGACUAAUUAGACUUUCCUAUUUCAAGAAAGAAUGAAUUUUGAGGAUUCAUAUCACAUUAGAUUUAAUCUCGAUCAAAUAGUUGAAAUUCAUUUCAAGAAAUAAUUGAUAUUUGAGGAUUCACACCACGUUAGAUUUAAUCUCAAAAGUUGAUCAAAUUUAUUCUCCAGACUCUAUUUCGACUUGCCUUGUACACACGUGAGACAUAUGAACCUUGGGCUCUGAUAUCAUUUGUCACGAUAAAAAAUGCACGUGAUGACACUCAUUUUAUCCCACCGAGACAAGUCAGCCUAACACCCAAAACUACAAUACAAAAUGUAGAAAGUAAGCUAUCAAUAACAUAAGUGUGAAAAAUUUAGAUAAAAUACAUAACUACCACCAAAAUCUGGUUGUCACGUGUAUAAGCCACUAAUGUAUAAAAGCACUUGAAUAGAACGAAGCAUAAAAUAAGGAAUAAGAGGACCCACCGGGAUGACAAGCAACUACCUCGCAACGUGUCCUCAAAAGCCUUAGAAGAAAUGUCACACAAGUCUAGGUCCGAAUCUACACAAGUGUAGAAGCAAUGAGUGAGUACCAAUCAACACGGAACUCAACAAGCAAUCCAAUAACACAAGGUAAAACUAGCCUAGAUUACAAAUACUCAUUUCAUCCCAACCGAACCUCCUCAACUAAAACCUGCACAGAAAUCAGUUCAGCCUAACAAUUUACAAUAUACAACUCACACGGCUCAACAAUCACAAUUCAACAUUAACAGUUCAACAAUCACUAGUAUCACAUUAAUCAAUCACAAGUAUCAAGUUGGAAUUUAUGGGGAAUACCCAUAGUCCAUGCACUCGCUGACAAUGACCUUGGCAUAAUAGAACCCACACGGCAAUGACCUCGACAUCAAUAACAUUCUUCAAAAAUGACCUCGACAUCAAUAACACUCACCGGAAAUGACCUCGGCCUAAUAACCUCGCAUCUCAUCAUAAUGCCCAGAAUCAAUGUGAAUGAGCAUACUCACACAAUAUUGAAGAGAUGAUAAACUCAAGCAAUUCAAGUUCACAAUAAUAUUAUCAAAGCAUUUCAUCAAUCAUGAGUUCAAUGUUCACACCAAGACAAUUCAUAAUACACAAUACAUCAUUAACAACACAUUACCUUUUUCAUUAAACUGCAUUUAUAUCGAUAAAGCUAAUCAAAUGAGUAAAUUAACCCAUCACCUCACUUCCAUUGCUUCCCAACACACACAAUGAAGGAAAAUACAAGUUUCUACAAGUUUUAACAAUGUUUAGAGGUCUUGUCUUAAUCAAUCAAAAGUCACUCUAGGACUUGAGCUUUUCCCCUCCGAAUAAUAUCUAAAGCAACACAAUCUAAUCAAAUAAGUAAUCACAAUGAGAUUUUGAAACUAAUAACACACAUAUCAAGCACUUUAAAAAAUGGGUCAAUUCGACUCAAAAAAUAAAUUCCAAAAAUUAGGUUUGAAAUUGAAAAUCAUUACUUAAAUACGUUACCCAAAACAUUUGAAACUCAUUGGUGAAAGCCAUUUUGAAAAUAAAGGUGUAUUCAACUCAAAAUCACCAAUUUACUUCAACACCCAGUUAGUCUUGAAAACCUUUUCAUUUUGCCAAUCAAAAAUCUCUAUUUUUUUUAAUGUUAAAACUACAAAUGAUAAUGGAGAAUUGAAGACUUAGGGUUACAAACACUUACCCAAAAAAUUUAGUACGAUAAGUCUCCUCAAAAUCACCUUCAACUGUUCUUCAAAAUUCAAAAUGGAGAAAUCCCAAAAAAACAAACUAAAAGGCUCCCAUGUCUCGCUUUUGCAAACCCAGGGUCACUUACACAAUCAUCGCAAUCCUAGUUCAAAAAAUCGAACUCUGAAAAGUUGGCUAGUAAUCACUUUCGCGAGCCGGCCUUCACUAAAGCGAAGGUCGCGAAAGCGACAACCACUCGCAAACGCGAAGGUCUAGGGGAACCGACCCCUUGCGAAUGUGACUAGUAUAUCACGGAAGCAAUGUUUGCGAAAGCGAACAACCUCUCGUUAACGUGAGGCACACAUGGUAAUAGAAAAUUCAUCCAACUUUCAAAAUUCCUAAAUGAUCCUCAGAAUUCGUUCGGAACCCAUAUACACAAAUUAAAUAUGUAACUCGACGAUACUCAACGUUUCAAAUAUAAUGGAACUAUUGAAAUACGAAUCUGAGAUCUCCUAGACCCGAAUCUCGUGUAAAUCACAAGAAACUAACACAACACCUAAAACUGACAAACUAGCUCGGGACCUCUUAAAAUUCAACCAAGAUCUCUGCCUAAGCCUAAAAUCAUCUCCCGAAUUCAAUGGAAUUGUUGGAAAUUCGAUCCGGGCAUCCAAACUCCAAAUGUUAACAAAGUCAACCUAAAGGCUAAAUUCUCACCAAUUUUCAAGUUAGGACCUCAAAUCCAGGAAAAGACUCUGAAUGUAACACUCCGGAAACUAGUAGGCUAAACUAGAGCUUAACAUGUGGGUUAAAGUCGUAAAUGUAACUCCCCGUACUUAAAAAUAAUGGGUUUCAUGUUAGGAUGUCAAGGUACGACCCCCAAGAACCAACUAUGGGUCCUUGAGGAAGACCCUAGAAAAGUUGCAUGUAUAGUGACCCACGAAGGGGACCUACACCACGUAGGUCAACCCACACCCAUGGGUGAGAGGGCCGUAGGUCAGGCCCUAAAAAUCAAGUCCCACAACCCAACCCACGCUUCACCAGCACGGGCCGUAGGUCCAACCACGGUCCGUCAGUGGUAGGUCUUGGAUGGUCACCUGGAAGCUGAUUUGGAGGGUUAAGUUAGAGGGCACUUUGGGGUUUUCCAGGUUUAAUUAAUACUAAGUGAGGUUGUUUUAGCCUAUUUUAGAACACCUAUAUAAGGAUUUAAGCUCACAAAAUUUACUCAUCUUCCUCAUUAUUCCAAAAUCCCAAAUAAAAACCAACUUUUCCCCAAAUAUUCUCUCUCUAGAACUUCAAAGAAAACGAAGAAGGAAGUUGGAGCUAGGGUUCAAUGAGCAAGGUUUUCUUCUCAAAUUCAUUGGAUUUCAUUGCUAAGGUAUGGUAGUUCUUCAUACAUGGAUAUAAUUCAUCCAUGGAGCCCCUUCAAAACCUCAAUUUCAAAGAUGGAAAUUCCCCAAAAGUUAGGGUUUUACUCCAAGUCAUGGGUUCCUUUAAAAAAUGAUUCUAGUGAUUUAAUUACUUAUACUAUGAUUGAAUUUAUGAUCUUUUAUGGUUUUUAUGUUGAAAUCCCCAAGAAUCCAUGAAAUCCCCCAUAUUACUCAAUUAUGAUCUUGUGAUGUAGGUUUGUUGAUGAAAGAAGAGUAUUAUGAGAUUUUACAUGUAGUGAUUUGAUUACUUGAAUUAUGAUUAUAUCCAUGUCUAAAGUAGUGAAUUCUAGAUGUGUUGAUUGAAUAUGAUCAUUGAUCCUUGAAGGGUAAAGUAUGAGAAUUAUGCAUGAUUAUGAGAUUUAUGUAUAUGCUUUAAGAACACUUUGAGAGUAAAGUGAUUAUGAUUAUGAUCUAGUUGUUGUGUUGUUGAAAGGUUAUCCUCAUAUACACACUUACGUAUGAAUAUGAUAUGAUGUGAGGGGUUUUCUCAUAAUAUGAUGAUUCUAAGGUUGAAAGACUAUUCUCACCUAUUGAAUCUAGGAGCUAUCUUAUGAGUUAUGUUGGAUUGAGUGUCAAGACAUUCUUCCAUGAAUAUGAAUUUAAGUCAAGACUUAACAUGAACUCCGUGGGAAUUAAUGCUCAGCACCGAGUGGAUAUUGAUAUGAGAUGGGAACCCUCACAAUAGUAGAGACCGAGUUUCUAGGAACAAUCUCUUGGGAUGGAAGCCCUCACGAUAGUAGAGGUCGGGUUUCUAGUAGCAAUCCCCUUGUCCCAUAAACUAUGUGCCUUCAUAGGUCUUUAGAUAGUGGAUCCACCUAAGCUAAGAGUAUGGUUCUACCUUAGGAAAGUAGGACAACCCCUUUUCGGUGUGGGGUAGACACCGGAUUCCAUGUUAAGCUCACAUGGUCUAUGUCGGUUAAGGCUUAUACCACUAUGAUAGUAUAAACAAUAAUAUGAAUUAUGAACUAUAGCUACUCAAGAAGCUUUACUUAGUAUGUGUGAGAUUAUGGGAUCUUAUUCAUGCAUUACACAAGUAUGCUUUGAGGGUAUUUAUGAUAUGUUCAUCUUACGAUAUGAUGAUCUAUGAGUUGAUUAUGCUUAUGACUUAUGCUUUUUCCACUAUCUUCAAAAUGAUGUUUUAACAUAGUAAAUUGCAUGCAUUCAACUAAAUGUCCUUUUAGCAUUAUUUCAAUGUUUUUAUGCAUGGCUAUCAUACUUAGUGCAUUUUUGUACUAACACAUGCUUUUUCUACAUUUUCCGCAAUUGUAGGGUCCGGUUCUCAAGGUGGUCAUCAUUGUGGCUAAAGAUUGGAUUUGCUUAUUCUCCUAGCUUGUUGGUGAUUCCUCAUGAUUUAAGGACUGAUGUUAUCUUUGUAGUUCUUUUCUUGUAUUUCCUUUACGGACUAUGUUGUAUGGGCUGUGACCCUAUUUCUUUCAAGUAUUGUAAUAGAUGGCUAUAUUGAGACAAGUCUAGACUUUCGCUUUCCUUUAUGAAAAAUUUUGGACUUGAAAUGCGAUUUUACUCUUUAUUGUUCUAUUCUUAUGUUAUGAUACGUUAAGAGGCUUGUAUAAGGCUUCUCGGAGUCUUGCACACCGUGUUACAUCUAGGGGGUACUUUUGGGUCGUGACAAACUUGGUAUCAGAGCACAGGGUUUAGAUUGAUUCUAGGAUGAUGUAUCAUAAGCAACGUCUAGUAGAGUCUUGCUCAUGAGUGUGAAGCGCGCCACAUUUAUGAAUGUGAGGCUACUAGUUGAUUAGGAAACUACAUUUCUUUCAUUACUCUUAAGUCGUGCAAUAGAGUUUAACUCUAUAAAGUCCCUCUCUUAAUCCUUCUCUUAAAAUGAAUACACGAAGGGCUAAUGCUAGAAGAAUAGAGGGUGACAAUGUGAAUGAAGAAGCUCUUCAAGCUAAUCAAGCUCCGAUUGAUCCUUUAGUUAUGUCGAAUGUGGAGGUUAGGUCGGCUUUUCAAAUGUUGGCCCAAGCUUUGACUACUCAAGCUCAAGUUGUGACGGCUCAAGCCAACAGAGAGGUUGUAGCUAUGGUGAAUCCUAAUGUGAGUUCAGAGGCUUCAAGAGUGAGGGAUUUUUCAAGAAUGAACCCCCCGAAUUGCAUGACUCCAAAGUGGAGGAGGAUCCUCAAGAAUUUGUAGAAGAGGUUUAUAAAGUACUUGCUAUUAUGGGGUGACUUCGGUAGAGAAAGCAGAGUUGGUUGCUUACCAAUUGAAAAGUGUUGCUCAAGUGUGGUAUAAUCAAAGGAGGAGAAAUAGGCCGGUAGGAGCAAGUCGCAUAAAGUGGGAGGUGUUCAAAUUGGCGUUUCUUGAUAGGUUCUUUCCCCGAGAGUUGAGGGAAGCUAAGGUGGAAGAGUUCAUUAACCUUCAUCAAGGAAGCAUGAGUGUGAAAGAGUAUGCACUAAAGUUCACUCAAUUGUCCAAGUAUUCUCCAACUAUGGUGGCGGAUUCGAGGGAUGAGAUGAGUAGGUUUUUGACGGAUGUGUCUGGCUUGGUAGUAAAAGAAUGUCGUUCAGUAAUGCUCCAUCAUGAAAUGGAUAUCUCACGUCUUAUGGUGCAUUCCCAAUAAAUAGAGGAAGAGAAACUCAAGAAAAAGAAUAGAGAGGUGAAAAGAACUACGACCGGUGAUGGGAAAUUCUCCAAUGCUAAGUCUGAUGUACAAGGUCGACCAAGGUUUUCCAACCAAGGCUCCUCUAGUUCUCCAAGGGUCAACAAGGAUAGGGUUUCCAACCCUAAACCUCAAGGAGGUAAUAGUGGUGGUUCUUAUGUGGCUAGGCCUAAUUGUGCGAAAUGUGGAAGAAAACAUGAUGGUAAGUGCCUAGUUGGCUCGGACAGUUUCUAUGGUUGUCGAAAGAGUGUCCACAAGAUGAGAGAUUUCCCGAUGCUCAUGGCCAAGGGAAGAGAAGGCAAUUAAACUCCUCCAAGCGGUUCAAACUCCAAUGCCCCAAAGCAAAACCGUUUUUAUGCUCUUCAAUCCCGAGACCAAGAGAGCUCACGGAUGUUGUGACCGGUAUGUUAAAAUUCUUUCUUAUUGAUGUGUAUGCCUUGUUAGAUCUCGGUGCUACUUUGUCCUUUGUGACACCUUAUGUCGCCAUGAAGUUUGAUAUACUUCCCGAAGCGUUAGUGGAACCUUUUUUGGUUUCUACCCCGGUUGGUGACUCAGUGGUGGCUAAGAGGGUGUAUAGAAGGUGUCUCAUUUGCUUGUCCCAUAGAGUUACUUUGGUGUAUUUCGUAGAGUUAGACAUGUUAGAAUUUGAUGUGAUUUUGGGUAUGGAUUGGUUGUAUGCAUGUUAUGCCUCUAUCGAUUGUAGGACUCGGGUGGUUAGAUUCCAAUUUCCAAAUGAGCCUGUCUAAGAGUGAAAGGGAGGAAAUUCUAUGCCUAGAGGUCAAUUUAUCUCUGGUCUUAAAUCUAGGAAGAUGAUCUCCAAAGGGUGUAUUUACCAUAUUGUUAGGGUGAGGGAUGUUGAAUCUGAAACCCCUUCUCUAGAGUCGGUUUCGGUAGUGAAUGAGUUAUCGAAAGUUUUUCCUGAUGAUUUACCCGGUAUUCCUCCCGAUCGGGAAAUAAAUUUUGGUAUUGACCUUUUACCGGAUACAAAGCCUAUCUCUAUUCCUUCUUAUAGAAUGGCUCCGGCUGAGUUGAAAGAGCAACUAAAAGAUUUAUUUAAUAAGGGCUUCAUCCGAUCGAGUAUCUCUCCAUGGGGUGCUCCGAUGUUGUUUGUUAGAAAGAAGGAUGUGUCUCUUAGAAUGUUCAUCGAUUAUCGUCAAUUGAAUAAAGUUACCAUUAAGAACAAGUAUCAUCUUCUGAGAAUUGAUGACUUGUUUGAUCAAUUUCAAGGGGCUAGUUAUUUCUCAAAAAUUGACCUUCGUUCGGGUAUCACCAGUUAAGGGUGAGAGGGGUUGAUAUUCCCAAGAUGGCUUUCAGAACUCGAUAUGGACAUUCUGAAUUCCUUGUGAUUUCAUUUGGCUAAACUAAUGCUCCUGCGGCAUUUAUGGACCUAAUGAAUAAAGUAUUUAGGUAAUACCUAGACAUGUUUGUAAUUGUGUUUAUCGAUGAUAUUUUGAUCUAUUCAAGGAGUGAGAAUGAUCAUGAGGACCAUUUGAGAAUUGUGUUGCAAGUUCUUAAGGACCACCAACUUUUUGCAAAGUUUAGCAAGUGUGAAUUUUGGUUGAGAUCCGUAGCUUUCCUUGGUCAUAUUUGUCAAGCAAGGGUAUUGAGGUAGAUUCUAAGAAGACGGAUGAGGUCAAGAGUUGGCCUAGAGCUCUAACUCCUUUCUAUAUUAGAAGCUUUUUGGGUUUUGCCGGUUGCUAUAGAAGGUUUGUUGAGGAAUUUUCUUCCAUUGCUUCUCUUUUGAUUGCUUUGACUCAAAAGAAAGCUAAGUUUGUGUGGUCGGAAUCUUGUGAGAAAACUUUCCAAGAGUUGAAAGAUAGACUUAUUUCUGCUCCGGUGUUAACCUUACUAGAAGGUACAAAUGGUUUCGUGGUAUAUUGUGAUGCCUUUAGAGUGGGGUUGAGAUGUGUGCUCAUGCAAAGCGGUAAAGUGAUUGCAUAUGCUUCAAGGCAACUUAAAGUCCAUGAAAAGAAUUAUCCGACCCAUGAUCUUGAAUUAGCGGCGGUUGUGUUUGCCUUAAAAAUAUGGAGGCAUUAUUUGUAUGGGGUCCAUGUGGAUGUUUUCACCGAUCACAAGAGUUUUCAAUAUGUAUUUAGUCAAAAGGACUUGAAUCUUCGACAAAGAAAGUGGCUAGAACUCUUGAAGGAUUAUGAUAUGAGUGUCCUUUAUCACCUCGGCAAAGCCAAUGUGGUAGCAGAUGGACUUAGUAGAUUGUCCACGGGUAGUGUGGCUCAUGUAGAGGAUGAAAAGAAAGAAUUGGUUCGUGAUGUGCAUAGGUUGGCUCGACUAGGUGUUCAACUAGUGGAUUCCACCAUGGGUGGUGUCAUGGUCCAUAAUGGUUCCAAAUCAUCCUUUGUAAUAGAUGUGAACCCUAAGAAAGACCUUAAUCCUAUAUUAGUUGAGUUGAAAGAGUCGGUACUCAAGAAGUCCGUUGAGUUUUUCUUCCAAGGGGAAGAUGGGGUGCUUAGGUACCAAGGUCGGUUAUGUGUUCCAAAUUUUGAUGGUUUGAGGGAACAAAUUUUACAAGAAGCUCAUAGUUCUCGGUAUUUUAUUCAUCCGGGAGCCACCAAGAUGUAUUGUGAUCUACGGAAAGUCUAUUGGUGGAAUGGGAUGAAGAAAGAUAUUGCGGGAUUUGUAGCCAAAUGUCCUAAUUGUCAACAAGUUAAGGUUGAGCAUCAAAGGCCGGGAGGCUUGUCCCAAGAUAUAAGUAUUCCCACUUGGAAGUGGGAAGAUGUAAAUAUGGACUUUAUUGUGGGUUUGUCUUGUACCCGAAGGAAACAUGAUUCUAUUUGGGUCAUUAUAGAUCGGAUGACAAAAUCAGCCCACUUCAUUCCCGUCACGGUUUCCUUUUCGGUGGAAUACUAUGCCAAGGUGUAUAUAAGGAAGAUAGUGAAGUUGCAUAGAGUUUCUCUAUCUAUUAUUUCCCAUUGGGAUACUCAAUUUACUUCCCACUUUUAGAAGUCAUUCCAAAAAGGUCUUGGCGCGAAGGUGAAGCUUAGUACAACUUUUCACCCCCAAACGCAUGGACAAGCGAAAAACACCAUUCAUGUAACACUUCGUAUCCAAAAAUAGACCAACCAACAGAUUUCCAGAAGUUUCAGGUGCAACCCACGGACCGUAGGGUGACCUACGUUCCGUCUUGAUGGUCCGUGGUUCACCACCUGCAGCCCCUCCCAGAAAAGGCCCAUAAAAUUAUUCUAAGUCCAGACCUACGUAAGGACCUACAGACCGAAGGCCAGACUAGGGUCUGUGUUCCAGGGCCGUAGGUCAGACCCUCAGACAAAUGUUUAUAUGACAUGACCUACAGACGAACCCACGGACCAUAGGUUAGGCCACAAAUCGUGGUCCUAGUCCGUGGAAUGAGGCCCCAGAAUCUAGUCCCAGAACCCCGUUGAUGGUUGACCAGCAUGACCGUUGGUCCAUCCAUGGUCCGUUGGUGGCCUCGAUAACUUUUAAGUCAGGGGUCGUUUGGUCUUUUCCCUAUGUGUUGGACCCCUAAACUACAUAGUUUUUGUCAGUUUUAGCCUAGUAAACUAAUUAGAACCUAACCUAAUCAAUCAUUCAUCUAAAAUUCAUCAAACUUAGAGCAAAAUAGAGGAGAAAGUUGAGCAGCCCUAGUUCAAGAGCGCAAGGAGCGUUCAUUAGUUCCAACCUCGAAAUCAAAAGAUUUCUCGGUGAAUUUUAUCACCAGGUAUGUGGGAUUUCACUAGUGGUUUCCUUUCACCCAUUAGGUCCCUAGAAUUCAGUCAGAUUCUUGAUUCCUUUCAUAUUAUCUAGACCUAGGGUUUUUAGAAUUUCAGAAGAUUAUUAUGAAUUACUGUAAUGUUCCUAAUUAGAUUAUCAUGAUAUUAGUAUUAUUUUGCGUAGAUUUUUUCAUAAGUUCAGAACCCUAGCUAUGUAGUUCUUUUAGUUCAUGAAUUACACAUGCUAGGUUAGUUAUCUCAGUUAUACAUGCCUCAGAUUUGAAUGUUUCAUUAUUAGUACAUUAAUGUUGCUUUUUUAGUUAGCAUGUCAGUAUUUUGAGCUAUCCAGUAUUACAUAAAUUCACUCAUAAACUGUUAAUUACAUAAUCAAUUGGGAGUAGCUUAAUACCGAGUGGACUAGGGUCAGUCACCCUCAACUCCCAGAACUUCGUGCCCCCGUAGGUUAUAAGUCCUCUCUGUGGGCAUCAAUUUAGUGAUCACGCUAGUUAUGCCUCUAUACCUCCGACAGGGUAUAUUUGGUCCUCUCGAUGAGGCGUAUACAUCGGACUCCAUAUUUAGCUCAUGUGGUUUUAUGUCGGUUAUUAGUAGCUCCCUUAUAGUUAGACUCUAUUGCAUUGACCAUGUUAUCAGUUACAGUCAGAUUUUAGUCUCAAUUUGUUAUAAACUUGGUCAUUGCAUUCAGUUAGUUCAUGUUUAGUAUUUUCAGUAUAGAAUCAUGCUUAUCUUAUCUCAUUGCUCAAUUAUAUGCUUUGUUCAGUUAUGUUUAUUGUUCAGCUUUACUCUAUCUUACAUUCUCAAUACCUUUCAAGUACUGACGCAUACGAUGCGCUACAUCUUUUUAUGAUGCAGGUUCAGGUCCUCAACUUUCAGAUCACGCAUAGGUCGAUUCCCGAUCUUCAGCUCAGCAGUAUCAGUGGUGAGUCCUCAUUCUCUGAGGACGACAUACAUAUUUCUUUUUAUUUUUAGUCUUUAGUUUCAGUUUUGUUAGAUUUAGCUAGGGCAUGUCCCAGCAUUUCUAGUCAGUUAAAGGCUUAUUUUCAGACAUAGUUAGAUUCAGCUUUAGCAUUUGAGUUUGACCUUUUAGUUGUUGUUUAACUCUCAGUUUUUUAUAUAUUCAGAUAGUUUAUGGGUUUUCCCCAUCAUUUUAGUUUUAUGAUGAUUUAAGCUUCCGCACCGUACUUUCUUAAUUCAGUUAUCUUUAAGUAUGCUUAUGAUAUGCCAGUAGGGUUAGCUUGGGGUCACUCGCGAUCCUAGGUCCCGUGUCCGCGUCUUGGGGGUAGCUUCGGGGCGUGACAAACUUGGUAUCAAAGCACUAGGUUUAAGUGUCCUAGGAUGUCUGAAAAGCCGCACUAAGUAGAGUCCUUUUCAUGGGUGUGAAGUGCACCACAUCUAAUGAGUGGGAGGCUACGAUGUGUUCUAGGAAAACUUCACUUUUUUUAUAUUCUUAUCGUGCGUGGGUAUGAUCUACCUUCUAAUCCAUCAUUAUGCAUUUCAGAUCAUGCCUCCUCGUAGAGAUUACAGAAGGAAUGCUAAUGCACGCAAUGCUAAUGCAACUCUUCCAGUCCCAGAUCAGGAAGUUUCGAAUGCAGAGUUCCAAAACGCCAUUUAGUUUUUAGCUUAGAGUGUGACCAACCAGAACAACCAAUAUGUUCAGGUUCCUACAAAUACUAGUGGUGGAUCAGCGGCAACUAGGGUUUAUGACUUUGUUAGGAUGAAUCCGCCAAAAUUUCUAGGAUCGCAAGUUGAUGAGGAUCCCCAAAACUUCAUAAAUGAGGUCAAGAAGAUCUUUGGAUUAAUGCAAGUGAUUAGAAAUGAUAGGGUGGAGUUGGCAUCCUACUAACUUAAGGAUGUAGCUCACAUAAGGUUCACGUAGUGGAAAGAAAACAAAGAUACGGAUGCAGUUCCUAUCACUUGGGAGUAUUUUAGUGAGACCUUUCUAGAAAAGUUUUUCCCAAGAGAGUUGAGGGAGGCAAGAGCUCACGAGUUCAUGAAUUUGAGGCAAGGUAACAUGAUAGUCGAAGAGUACGUGCUCAAGUUCACCCAACUCUCCAGGUAUGAUCCUCACAUGGUUGCCGAUUCCAGGGCUCAAAUGAAUAAGUUUCUGUAUGGAGUAUCCGACUUGGCGAAAACUAAGUGUCGCAAUGCUAUGUUACUGGAGAAUGUGAAUAUCUAUAGGCUCAUGACUCAUGCUCAGCAGGUUAAGGGAGAUAAGCUUAGGGAACAUGCUAAGGAUAAUAAGAAGGCUAGGACAGGCAACUAUGAGUAUUCUCAAUAGAAAUCAGGUGGUGGAAAUCGCUCGCAGUUUCAGCAAAAGUCUUCAGCUCCAGCACAUUCAUGAGAUAGUGUUCCAUCUUCCAGGUUUCGACAGAAUCAGAAAGGUAGGGCAAUAGGCUCUAAGUCUCAUGGGAGUAUUUUAGGCAUCAAAACCUACCCAACUUGUCCAAAGUGUGGUAAGAACCAUCUGGGCAAGUGUCUUACAGGAAAUGAAUGAUGCUUUGGGUGUGGUCAGUCUAGUCACAGGUUGAGAGACUGUCAUUCUUCUAAAUAGGGUCAAGUAGGAAACAAUGGUAGGGCUCAGUCUACAUCUUCAGCAGUACCAGCAGGUCACCCGACUCAGCAAGGUAACUCAUCUGGUAUAGGUGGCGGACAACACCAAAACAGGUUGUAUGCUCUUCAGGCUCACCAAGAUUAGGAAGAUUCUCCUGAUGUAGUCACUGGUACGCUACGAGUCUUUAACUUAGAUGUUUAUGCUUUGUUAGAUCCAUAGCCUACUCUCUCUUCUGUAACUAAUAACUAUCGAUUUUAGUGUCAGUCCCGAAAUUCUCUCAGAACCCUUCUCAGUCUCUACUCCAGUCAGUGACCCAAUUAUAGCUAGAUGGGUAUAUAGAAAUUUCCCUGGCACAGUCUCUCAUAAAGUCACCUCAGCGGAUCUUGUAGAGUUAGAAAUGGUAGACUUUGAUGUCAUUCUUGGCAUGGAUUAGUUACAUUCCUGUUAUGCCUCAGUCGAUUGUAAAACUAGGAUCGUUCAUUUUCAGUUUCCAGACAAACUAGUAGCUCAGUGCCUAUGGGUCGAUUCAUUUCUUACCUUAAGGCCAGAAAUAUGAUCUCUAAAAGUUAUCUCUAUCAUCUAUUUCGGGUUAAGGAUUCAAGCUCUGAAACCUCAACUCUUGAGUCAGUUCCUGUAGUUAAUGAGUUUGAAUGGAAGGGUAGUAGGUUGGUGCAUAUGGGUCGAUUCAUUUCUUACCUUAAGGCCAGAAAUAUGAUCUCUAAAAGUUAUCUCUAUCAUCUAUUUCGGGUUAAGGAUUCAAGCUCUGAAACCUCAACUCUUGAGUCAGUUCCUGUAGUUAAUGAGUUUCCUGAAGUGUUUCCAGAAGAUCUUCCCGGAGUUCCUCCCAAAAGGGAAAUCGACUUUGGANNNNNNNNNNNNNNNNNNNNNNNNNNNNNNNNNNNNNNNNUCCAGAUACCCAGCCUAUUUCUAUUCCUCCUUACAAAGUGGCUUUAGUUGAGCUUAAGGAAUUGAAGGAGCAGUUGAAUGACCUUUUAGAUAAGGGCUUCAUCAGACCUAGUAUUUCCUUGUGGCACCAGUAUUUUUUGUGAAAAAGAAAAAUAGUUCUCUCAAAAUGUGCAUUGACUAUCGGCAGUUGAACAAGGUCACGAUAAAAAAUAAGUAUCUUAUCCCCUAAAUUGAUGACUUAUUUGACCAACUUCAAGGUGCUAGUCAUUUCUCAAAGAUAGACCUCAGAUCCGAUUAUCAUCAGCUCAGAGUCAGAGAUAGUGACAUUUCGAAAAUAGCCUUCAGAACUCGGUAUGGUCAUUAUGAAUUUGUAGUUAUGUCAUUUGGACUAGCCAGUGCUCCUUCAACUUUCAUGGAUUUGAUUAACAGAGUGUUCAAGCAGUAUUUGGACUUGUUUGUUAUCGUCUUUAUUGAUGACAUCCUCAUUUACUCUAGGAAUGAGGAAGAAGAUACGACUCAUUUGAGGGUUGUCCUGCAAACUCUCAAAGAUCGUCAGUUAUUCGCUAAGUUUAGCAAAUGUGAGUGUUGGUUGUAAUCUGUUGCUUUCCUUGGGCAUAUUGUGUCUAGCGAAGGGAUCUGAGUGGAUUCUCAGAAAAUAAAAGCAGUGAAACAAUGGCCCAGACCUACCUCUCCUAUAGAUAUAAGAAGUUUCUUGGGUUUGGAUGGUUAUUACAAAAGGUUUGUAGAAGGAUUUUCAUCCAUAGCUUCUCCAUUAACUAAGUUAACUCAGAAAAAGGUUAAGUUCCAAUGGUCAAAUAAUUGUGAGAAUAGCUUUUCAGAACUGAAAACUAGCUUGACUACAGCUCCUGUUUUGACUCUACCAGAGGGUUUAGACGGUUAUCUGAUCUAUUGCGAUGCAUCUAGAGUCGGCCUAGGUUGCGUGUUGAUGCAACGAGGUAAGUUUAUAGCUUAUGCUUCUAGACAACUCAAGGUGCAUGGGAAGAACUAUCCAACUCAUGACCUCGAGCUUGCAGCAGUGGUGUUUGCACUUAAGAUUUGGAGACAUCACUUGUAUGGUGUUCACGUAGAUGUGUUCACAGACCAUAAGAGCCUUCAGUAUGUGUUCACCCAGAAAAAGUUGAAUCUUCGCCAGAGGAGAUGGCUUGAGUUCCACAAAGAUUAUGAUAUGAAUGUGCUUUAUCAUCCUAGUAAGGCCAAUGUAGUAGCAGAUGCUCUUAGUAGACUAUUUAUGGGUAGUGUAGCACAUAUUGAGGAAGAAAGGAAAAAACUAGCAAAAGAUGUUCACAGGCUUGCUCGCUUAGGAGUUUGUCUUAUGAGCAUAUCAGAUGGUGGUGUAAUAGUACAGAAUGGGUCAGAAUCUUCAUUGGUAGCGGAUGUUAAGGAAAAGAAAAAUAAUGAACCUAUAUUGCUUCAACUAAAGUGUCAUGCCCCAAACUCGAGGGGCGCAACUAGCUCCUAAUGCCAAAACUCAGGCCUGAGUUGACCCUGCUGAACCAUUUGCUACUAGCGCAUGGCAGCCACACGCAAUCAAGAAAACAAACAAGUAUAUCUCGGCUUAAAACUAAGCCCUCGACUGGUAAGGCCCCUGUCAACUGAUCUAUAAAGGAAACAACUACUCCCAGGAGAGCAUAUUAAAUAAAUAGCCAACUAGUACAAAAGUCCUGAUUGGGCCGUCGAGGCCACCAUGAUAUCUAUACCAAAACUAAAAGCACGUAUAUAUCAAGUUAAUAAAUCAAACAUCUCACAAGCUUCAGUAAACCAACAAACUAGGAUAGUAUGUCCAUAACAUAGCUAUACACCCCACACACUAGUCUGCAAGCCUCUAAGAGUAGUAAAGAUUGGCGGGACAGGGCCCCAGCCUACCCAUAAACAUAUAUACAACAAAAGGUAACAAACCUCCCAACUCUGGAAGCUCCGGAGGAAAGGGGCUAGCCAAUCGGAUAGAAGUCAAUCAUGCUGCUAAGGAAUCAUCUAAAAAGUAUGACCGUUUUUACCCACGAUGGCUACAUGGUUUAUGGAGACUUGAGUUAUUAUGAACUCGUCCUCAUAUCGGUGCUCAAUACUACUCCCAAAAUAUACUCGGCUCAUAUGUUUUAAAAUAAAACUCUCUCUGUGGUUUGAGAUAAUUACUCAAAAACUAGCUCAAAGGUUCUCUUAGAAAUUGGUGUUUCCUCUCUUGUUUAAAUGUGAAAACAUUUACUCUUUUAGAAAUACAUAGUCUUGGUAUACUCUUUUAAAGAAAAGAACUUUGAUCUUCACUCUUUAUUCAACUCAAAACUCAAGUCUUAAAAUAAAGUUAAAAAGUUUGCAAAAGACUUUUGAAAUGACUCUAAGAACUCUCUAGCCUUGGCUCUUAACUUUCCUUGAAUUUGAAUUUAUGGAUUCAAGGAUUGUGAUUUGUGAUAGGAAGGAUCUCAUGAUGUUUAGGAGUGUUUUUAGAUAGUUAAACGUGAGAAACGAUCAAGAAAUUCCUAUCUAGAAACAAGUUCACGACGCGGAGAUGCAUUUAAUUAUUUGAUCGUGAAAUAAAUUUUGAGGCAGAAUGGUCUGUGACUACUUCGCGAUGCGGAGAAAAUUUUGUCAAUCCUAAGGAACAGGUCCGCGACGCUGACCUGGUACCCAGAUUUGCCCGACUUGUUCCUUCUUCGUUUUCUAACACCAAUUCGCCUAAAUUCGAUUCUUUUUCUCAAUUCCUCUUUAGAUUCAGAUACCCAGCACAUGUACACAAGAAUCUAACUCAAAAAAACUCUAACAAUCAACCUUAAACUCUCAAGAACAAAAGCAAUUCAAGAAUACAACUCAAGAACAUCAAAGUCUCAAUCUUUUAGGACGAAAAUCAUACUGAAAUAAACAUGUUUGGCACGUGGGUGAACGAACCCAACGCUAUGUGAACUCACAUACCUCGUAGGAUUGAAUCUUUGGCGAAAACCACAACCAAAAUCGCAAGAACUUGACGAAUCUUUGAACUUUUCUUCUCCUUUCUCCUCUUGAGUUCUUUCUCCAAUAACCCUAGCGUGAUUUGGUAAGGCAUAAACUGAUCUAACUCUGUUUAGACCCAAAUUAAACUUCUAAAAACGAAAUAAAUUAAUUGGGCAUGGAAAAGACCAAAAUACCCCUUUAAAAUCCGGUUUUAACUUUCAUUAUCUAGACAACUCAACUUCAAAUGGGCAUAUAUCCCUCAUACAAACUCGAAAUCAAGCAAACUCGGAGGCGUUGGAAAGAUAAUUCAAAGAUAUUUCCUACGGUAUCUUGUAGCACACCUAACUUAUCCUGAGCUAGGAGUUAUCGCCACUUGAAGUUGACCCAAACUCAAGCUUAGCAUAACUUUAACAAAUUUUCCAGAUUUUUCAUUCUUUCCAAAAAUAACUCUUUCUAAUUCUAGCUCUUUCACUUAGCGAGGUGUUACAAUCACGAACAUAAUUUGGUACUGUGUACGGAUACAUAUCCUUCUAAAUUAGGACAACCGUAGAAGAUACAUAGCAACACUUGAUACAUGAUAAAUGAUACAUUUGGUAGAACUUUUGUAUUAUCAAUGCUAGUUAAGGAUAUCUAUCAAAACUAAUAUUUGAAUACGAUACAUUGUGAAUGAUAAAAAAUUUAAUGCAUCAUAAUGUUGAAACGAAGACAUUAUACAUUAGUUUAAGAAACAAAAUCAACUAGAUACAUUAAAAAUCUGAACCCAUAUGCAUUAGAAAGGACGAACAACAAAGAAUCGAAAAAAAUCAACAAUUUAAUCUGCUGAAAGCAAAAAAAAAAAUGAUGAAGAAAUCCUCCUACACUUUCAUCAUUGAGGGAGUGAAAAUAUGGAGAGAUUAAGGGAGUGACAAUAGGAAGAGAAACGUGUACUUGAGUGUUGAAGCUUUAUGUAUCUGGAACAUUGGGGUUUGGGAGGAAAAAGAUGGAUUUUGGAAAUAUUUUGGAAUGGUAGGAAUAAUGGAAAUUGUGGAAAAUAAAAGUGUGUAUAUAGGUAAUUUUUCUGAAAAAAUUAGUAUUUGAGCCAAGUUCUAAUAUUUGAAAAAAUUUAAAAAUAAAAAAUCGCCCUAAACUUUUAUAUUUUAUCAAAAAAACACCCAUCACUUAUUAGUUCCAACUAAUAUCUAUCUACCAAAUUACUCCUUUAAUAACUAAUAAAUAUUCCUCUCUAUUAUCUAUAUAUAGAACGUGGCUAAGAGAAAUUUUUGUUUUUAAUAGAUUAUAAUUCAUCCUGAAUUAGUGACAAGUUUGAGUAUGCGAUUAAUAUAUUGCUCUUGUCAUAUUGUUGAUUGUUAUCAUUAUAAGGUUAUUUUUUAACAAAACAUAUUCAUCAUAAAAUGAAAAUUCAACCUUAAAGAUAUUUUAAAUAAUUUUUAGAACUUAUUGAUACAAAUCAUAUUUUUUGAAAUGAUCAAAUGUUUCUUCUGAAAUUUAUGGACAAACGUUGUAUCAACAAUAAUGAUACUUGAUCAUAUAAUUUAUGAUUGGUAAAAGGGUCUGAUAUACCCCUCAACUUUGCCAUUUGGAGCUGAUAUACUCCUUGUUAUGAAAGUAACUCAUAUAUACUCCUAUUGUUAUACAAAUGACUCACAUAUACCCUUUUCUUCUAACGGAAAUGAAAAAAUUAACUUUAAUUUAAUUUUUUAAUUAUUUUUUGGAAAAAAAUAUAAUCCAUAUGGGGUAUAUUUGAUCCUCCUCACAUGUAUUUUUUUUACUUUUUUGUUUCAACGACUAAUUUAAAUUUAUUAUUUUGAUGGUCAAAUAUAUUUAUUUUUCACUAAUUUUCUUGUAAAACUUAUUAUAGAUGCCCAUUUUAUUUUUUUUACAAAUACAAAAAUUUAAUUACAAUAUAGCUGAAAAAAAUAGUUUUAAAUUUUUUCUUUACACUAAAGAAUGACUGAAAAAAAAGAAUAAGAAACUCUAAUAAUGAUAAUCAAAGAAGUCAAAAAAUAAUUUUUGAAUGAAAAAAAUUAAAAUAUACCUUGAACUUUGCUAGAAGGAUCAUAUAUAUAGCCCUACAUGAAUUUUUUUUAAAUUUAAAUUCAAAAAAAUAAAAUUAAAACUAAUUUUUUCACUUCCAAUAGAUGAAGGGUAAUGUAAGCUCCUUUCGUAAUAGUAAGCAGGGGCGGAUCUAUAUGUAUGUGUGGGGUGCCACGGCACCCAGUGAUCUCGGUUAAAAUUUCGUAUAUAUAUGUGUAUAUGUUUAAGAAAUCGUUAUAAAUAAAAGUUGCCACCCAUUGAACGAAUUGGUGAUUGGUGCCGUUGGCAAAAGACACAGAUCCAUGCACCCGCAAUGCAGGUCCAAUUCUCACUCUCAACAUUAUAUUUUGGAUGCUUGUAUGAACUGAAGGCUUUCUAAGCUCUUUUUUUUUUUUUUUUUUCCUGUUUUUUCUUGUCUUUUUUUUUCUCGAUUGGUUCUUAUUUAUUUGGUACUAUUCUUUAUUACGUAAUUUAAAUUGACUCCUUUUUUCUGUGAUUAGUUCUUAACUUUUUUUAUUUUCUCUGUCACUAAUUACUGAUCUCUUGAUAUGAAUAUUAUGUGUUUAUUCUUUAUUAAUUAAUGAGUAUUGUAUUAUGAAAGUCACAUAAAUAUUACUACGAAUAUAUUUAAAUUGUUUUUUUUUUAAACAUAAGUUUUAAAAAAUGAUGAAUAUUAUUAUGUUUGAGUUCUUUUAAUUUUAAGGCUAUUCCGAUCUUCACGUUCUUGAUAAGUAAGAUGGUUGGGUUGAAACCAAUUUUUUCUCUACUAUAUUAUAUGCAACAACACAUAAAGACAAUGAAAUACGAAUAUAUUAAGUUAACACAAUUAGAUGGUUUAUACAAAUUUGAAAUUUUAAUGUGGAAAAUCUUUUCUUCCUCAAAGUUUUAGAGAAUGCCUCUAAAUCCAAAAAAAAAAGUUGAAUUGUUUAGUUAUCUCUAAUCUCAGAAUAACUAAAAGAAAAUAUUACUAACAUGCACAUUUAAUCAAUUUAUUUUAUAAAAAUAAAAAAAGAUAAAUAAUCCAAAUUGUAACCCAAAAUUAAAGGAACCGAUCCGUUUAUCUUACUUGGGUGAUGUGGCACCCACGACCUCUAAAUCCUAGAUCCGCCUCUAACAGUAAGGGUAUAUGUGAGUCAUUUGUAUAAUGAUAAGGGUAUCUAUGAGUUACUUUCAUAACGAGGAGUAAAUGACAAAGUUAAGGAAUAUAUCAGACCCUUUUCUCUUUAUUAUACUAGUAUACGUACCAGCGCGUUGCACGAAUAUUUAAAAAUAUAAUAAUUUUUAAAUUUAGAAAAUAACUAAUACAAAUUAUUAGUGAGUAACAAAAGUACAUGUGUAAUCAUAUAUAAUGUUUUAGUUUAUAUAUAUACGCUUCAUGCUAACACAAUUUUACCAUAAUUUAUAUCAAGUUUGUUUUUUGGCAGUUUUAUUUGACAAAAUUUAACAUAAUUAUUUAUCAAAUAAAAAUUAUGUUUUUCUGGAGGUAGUCUUUUUUUAAAAAAAAAAUCAAACUGAAAAAAUUGUUAAUUAUUUUGAUGAGACAUGUGGCUUUAUUUGCAAAAGUAUGAAUUUAUAGUAUUUUAAAUUUAUCCUUCUUAAGAAAUGAUAAUUCGAAAAUCAUUCUAUUACUAACAUAUUUUAUUUUUUUUACAACAUAGAGAUUUGAAAUAUUUAAAGUCAUUUUUAGAUAUAAUACAUGGAUUCACAAACCUUUUAAUCAUGGCAUGAGUCUGAUCUCUGUCUAAAUAAUUAUACACCAAUACAAAUAUAAAACUUAAUACUAUGUAGAAUUUAAAAAGAUAGAUAAAUAAAGACAAAUAAUAAUACAAAUUACAAAUUAGUAGUAUAAUUUUGAGAAAUUAUAUAAAAUUAUAUAUAAAAAUGAUAUGCAUCAACUCAAUGUUAACAUUUUUUUCCUUUGAAUAUUGUGCUAUUCAUGACGAAGACAGUACUUUUGAAAAGAAAAUUGCUUCAUUAAUAUGAGAAAUUGAAAAAAUAUGAUAGUGCGGAGGAAAGGAAAUGGAAAAGUGGGAAUAGUAGGUGGUUUAUAAAAUUGAUUCUUUGUUUUAUUUAUUUUUUACUUAAUACAUAUGCUCAAAUAAAAUGUUUUCUGUAAUAAUAUAUUAGGUAAGGAUAAAAUUAAAAAGUUAUAACAAUUUGUAACCACUUCAUCUUAUAACACUCUUCUCAAUUUUGAAUUAUUAUUAUUAUUUUAUUAAAAAACAAAACUUAUGCAUUAUUUUUAGUAAAACUAAUUAAAUUAUCAAUUCAAAUGUUAAAAAUUCUAUCAAAGACUUUUAAAAAAUUAUAAUUAUUUAUAAUUAUAUAUUUAUCUUUUAAAACUAAUUAAAUUAUUAUAUUGUUGUAAGUUUUCUAUGACUUAAAAAAUAAUCCAUAUAUAGGCCAGGCCACACGUAGGCAGUGGGAGAAUUGUUGUUGUUGUUGUUGUUGUUGUUGUUGUUGUUGUUGUUGUUGUUGUUGUUGUUGUUGUUGUUGUUGUUGUUGUUGUUGUUGUUGUUGUUGUUGUUGUUGUUGUUGUUGUUGUUGUUGUUGUUGUUGUUGUUGUUGUUGUUGUUGUUGUUGUUGUUGUUGUUGUUGUUGUUGUUGUUGUUGUUGUUGUUGUUGUUGUUGUUGUUGUUGUUGUUGUUGUUGUUGUUGUUGUUGUUGUUGUUGUUGUUGUUGUUGUUGUUGUUGUUGUUGUUGUUGUUGUUGUUGUUGUUGUUGUUGUUGUUGUUGUAUUUCUUAUUGUUGUUGUUGUUGUUGUUGUAUUUCUUGUUGUUGUUGUUGUAUUUCUUAUUGUUAUUGUUAUUAUUAUUAUUGUUAUUAGUAUUAUUAGUAUUAUUAUUAUUAGCAUUAUUAUUAGUAUUACUAUUAUUAGUAUUAUUAGCAUUAUUAUUAAUAUUAGUAUUAUUAUUAUUAUUAUUAGUAUUACUAUUAUUAAUGUUAUUAUUAUUAUUAUUAUUAUUAUUAUCAUUACUAUUAUUAUUAUUAUUAUUAUUAUUAUUAUUCUCCCCCUUAUUAUUAUUAUUAUUAUUAUUAUUAUUGUUAUUAUUAUUAUUGUUAUUAGUAUUAUUAGUAUUAUUAUUAUUAGCAUUAUUAUUAGUAUUACUAUUAUUAAUGUUAUUAUUAUUAUUAUUAUUAUUAUUAUUAUUCUCCCCCUUAUAAUAAAAAUGGAUGAUCAAAAAUGUUAAAAAUAAAUAAAUUUUAAAUUUUAAAUUAAUUCUUUUCAAAAUUAAUUAAUUUACCUAAGAAUAUAUACUAUCCAUAAUUGAAUAACCUUCUUAUAUGUUGCAUAUUUUAUGUUCUUGAACCUUUAAUUUUUUAAAGAGAUAUCCAUUUUUAUUUUUAUAAUUAUUUAAGAUUAAAAUAGAUUAUUAAUUUUUGGCGGAAUGGCCUAAGAGUCCCUUGUACUUGACUCGAUUUGUAAGUUGGAUCCCUAUACUUACGACUUUGCCAACUAAACCCUUAAACUCAUUCAAACACAAUAUUUUAGACCCCUUUCUCAUUCGAUGGGUGUGCGUGUAGUACACUCAUUUUACACAUGAAAUACCACGUCAUUUUUUAAUGACACAUCAUUAUCAUUAUUAUUUUUCUAAUGACACAUCAGAAAUUAAAUAUUUAAAAAGAAAUAAAAAAAAUUUUAAAUGCAUCUCUCUCUCUCACUCACUCACUCACUGUACUCAUUUUACCCCCUUCCCACUUCAUCUUCUUUGUUCCCACCUUCUACCAUUUUCAUCCCAAAAAUAAAAACUACAAUUUUCAUCUUUCUUCAUAGUUCACACUUAAAAAUUUCUUCAAUCACAAAAUGUGAUAGAUUAUAAUUAGUUCUUGCAAAUGCUUUAGGAUUCUAUUUAUUUUGAUUUGAUAAAAAGAGAUAUCAAGAAAACUUCAAAUUGAAAAAAAUAUGUGUACAUGUAAAUUCAAGUAAUAGAUCUUAAAGAAUUAAGUUUAUAAAAAUGGUGAAUAAUAUAUUUUCUUGCAAAAAAAAAUUUUAAUUUUUUAUUUGAUGAUUUUAUUGUGAUAAUGUGUACGUCAAAGAUGAAGAAGAAGAAGAGAAAAGGAGUAGGGGCGGGGUAGGGUGGGGAUGGGGGCUGAGGUUGAAGAAGAAGAAGAGAAAAAGGGUGGAGUUGGGUGGGGGCUGAAGAAGAAGAAGAGAGAAGGGGUGGGGUGGAGUGAAGAAGGAGGUUUUCAAUAUUUUUUUAAAAAAAUUAUUAUUAUUGUUUGUCUUAUAAUUUGAUAAAUUUUAAAAUAAAAAUAUUGUAUUCACUUGCUUCAAAAUGCGUGGGGUCACGUAUUUGUCCAACAUAAGCUCGGACAAUGAUUAGAGGGGUUUAAAAAAAUAGAGUUUCAUUGAGUUUAAGGGUUCAUUUGGAAAGGUGAUGAGUAGAAGGGUUCAACUGACAAACGAAGCCAAGUACAGAAGCCUCCCAGGUGAUUCUGCCUUAAUUUUUUCGUGUUUAUUAUUUUGAGUGGAGAUAAAUGAAUUAUUAUGUGCCUAUGAUUUAGGAGAAGAGAUUCUACACUUCUAGGAGUAUUUAAUUAUUAUUUUUUCUUAAAACGUAGCUAUUAAUUAAUUACCUCAAUUUUUGAAAUUCAUCAUUAAAUUAGUGCUCAGAAAUUUAAAACUGAUCUCAAAAAUUUUAAAAAUUAAUUGUAAUAACUUUUGGAGAUAAAUUAAUUAAUUUAAUUGUUAUAGGAGAAAAAAGUUAAUCUUGUAAUUGCUAUUAAUAAUGGGUAAAAAAAGUGAUUUACUCUAUUGUAGUAAAUCAUUUAGUGAGUAUAGAAAUAAAUUUUAAAUUAUAUUGUAUUGAAUAUUUAUGUAAAACAUUGUUAAUAGUAUUCAUAUAGAUUAUCAAAAAUGUAAAAUUAGAAAAUAAAAUCUCAUUAAAUAUAUAAACAAUAAUUAUCAACUUAAAGAUAUUAAGAAGCAUGAGAUCUUUACCACAUUAUGAUAUAUUUUCCAUUAAUAAAAUAAAAUAAAUACAUAGAUUUGGUUAGCUUAUAGAUGAACUUUUGGUAAAUAACUUUUUUUUAUAUUGAGUCUUUAUCUAAUAAUAUCAAUUGCAUCAACAACAAAAUAAACAAUAAUUUUAUAAGAUAUUAUUAUAUUAUCAAAUGAAUGCUACACUUUCAGUAUGUGUAGAUAAUAACUUUGACAAUAUUUCAAAAAUAAGAAUAAAAUUCAGAUUCAAAUUCAAGAAAUUCACACACUAAUCAACCUGCAAAAAAAAAAGUUACAAUCAUUAAAAAUAAUUAAUAAAAAUAGAAAAAAGAAUCAACAAAAAUUAACGAUUUACAAUAAUUAUUGAAAAUAGAUUUUAAUGCUUAAAAAGUUGCAAUAGAUAAAACACAUACACAAAUCUCAUGAUAGUGUUAAUUCUAUAUAUGAAGUUUAUUAUAGUGAUUUUUGUCUCAACAACUACGAAGUCACAUUAAAAGAAGGAGCAAAAUUAAAUCGUCAAAAGAAAAACGAAAAAACGAUAUCAACUUUAAGUAGUAUUUUUCAACAUUUCAAGGAUAAAGAAUAAUAUCAAUUCAACUAUAUAAUUAAAACGACAGAUUAAUUAAAAAUAUUGUAAAUUACUUCUAGUGAUUCGGAAUACCAUAAUCAUAUAACACGAAUAUUCAACUUUUAUUGUAUCUUCAAUAGUUCAUGGACAAAAUAAUUAUGUAAAACUAUAAUUUAUUGAAUACAUUAAAUAAUUAUUAUUUUUUAUGUGUCAAGCUGUAUUAAUUAUACAAAAAUCUUCAUAUUAUCUCACAUCUUAUAUAAACAAAUAAUUAGAAGAGAAUAUUCAUAAAAUUGCAUGGUUUUCACAACAUACAAACGUGGAAAUAAAAUAACCGGCAAAAUUCAAUUUCUAUUCAUGCGAAAUUUGAUCACAUUGGAAUACUUUAUAUACUUUUAUAAAUAAAAAAAGUUAAGGAAGAAACGUAUUCACCAAUAGAUAGAAGAACUAACUAACAUGAAUUAAAGAGAUAUUUAUAAUAAUAAUAAAAAUUAACCUGAAUUAUUUGCUACACAUCUGAAACAUUAAUAAGUAAAAUUCAUGGAGUUUCAUCGUUCAUCUCUUUUUCUGCCAUUUGAAAAUUUUGAAUAUUAGCAUGUCCUAUGAGAUAUGAAGAGAAUUGUGUUUUAAAUAGAUAACUAAGAAGUUUAAACUCCUACAAAAUAGUGAGGAAGUUAAAACUAUUUUCACAACUGCAACUUUUAUCUCUAAAACCGUUUAAUAUUUAAUUUUUAAAUUCAAGUCUUUUAAUUAUUUUAAAAAAACGUGUGUAGGUGUGUUUAUGAGUUAGUGGAGAUUUUUUUUUUAGUUGAGAGAUGGUUUAAAAAAUGUGUUACAACUCUAUUUUUUUAUUACUUCAAUUUUUUUAAUCAGUAAAUAUAGAAUAUAUAUAUUAUAAGUUGUAUUUUUUAAAAAUAUAUAUGUUUAUUUUAAAAUGCAAAUAAGAAAAAAUAAACAGUUACCGUGUUUAAGAUAAUUUUUAAAAUGUUUAAAAUUUUGUGUAUCAAUAAAAAUGGUUUUGCAGUUACAUUUCCCUUAUUUUAAAAAUUAUUUUAAAAUUAUAUAGAUUUAAUUCAUUUUAGAUAUAUAAAAAAUACGCUUUUUGUGGUGCUGACAUGUAGGCGCUAUCACCUCUCAUAUUAUAUAUAGAUAGAUACGUGCUUUGUCAAUCGUAUAAAUGCAAGGCGUCAUGCAUGACAAAAGAAUUAUCCUCAAACAUGUUUUUGUAUCUUUCUUUUGUGGGAAAUUAUAUUACAUUCAAACAUGAAAACGGUAGUGAGUUUGAAUUGUAUAAGGAAUAAACAAAUUCAAUUUAUUAUUGUUUUUCAAAAAAGAGAAUAAAUCAACCGUUUGUAACGAACAUGAUUUAAAAACUGUUUUAAAAUUUUAUUUAGUUUUUAUAUUAUUGUUUAUUAUUUAAUAUGUAUAGAAAUUAAAUUAUUAUUAAUUAUUUAAUAUAAUUAGAAAUUUUGUAGUGCCGACAUGUGGCACUAUUUCCUCUCCUAUUAUAUAUAGAUAGAUACGUGCUUUGUCGAUCGUAUAAAUCCAAGGCGUCAUGCAUGACAAAAGAAUUAUCCUCAAACAUGUUUUUGUAUCUUUCUUUUUCCUCUUUUUUCAAUCUUUACAUGCUCUUUUUAUGGUACACUUUGAAUAAUGGGAGUGACAGUGCCACUUCAUGCAUUACGUUCCCAUUACAAGGAAACUUCUUUGAUUUUAUUUCUAUUUUUUACAAAAAAAAAAAAAAAAACUUAAUUAAUUAACAUUUUAUAAUUUAAUUGGUGAGUUCAAAUUGUCAUUUAGAGCUGAUAUAUUCUUCGUUAUGAUGACUCAUAUAUACAUCUAGCUAUUGUUACACAAAUGACUAACAUAUACCUUUUACCUCUAACAAAAGUGAAAACAUAUUAAUUUUAAAUUAAUUUUUAUUAAUUUCUUAUUAAAAAAUCCAUGUAGGGGUAUAUUUGAUUCUUCUCACACUUUUUUUUUUACUUUCUAAAUUCAGUGGCUAAUUUAAAUUUAUUAUUUUGAUGGUCAAAUUUUUUUCCACUUAUUUUCUUGUAAAAUUUAUUAUAGAUGUCCCAAUUUAUGUUACGAUAUAAAAAAAAUUAAAUUACAAUAUAGCCGUAAAAAGGUAGUUUUAAUUUUUUUUUCUCCUUUUUCAUUCACACUUUUUUUUACACUAAAAAUGAAAGAAAAAAUGAAAUAAGAAUAAGAAAUUCAAAUAAUAAUAAUCAAAGAAGCCAAAAAAAUAAUUUAUGUGUGAAAAAUCAAAUACAUAAAUAUUUUAAUUAUUAAAAAUAAAAAAACAUUAAUUUAAAAUUAUUAUUUAUCACUUUUUGUAGCGGUAGGGGUAUGUGUGAGUCAAUUUUGUAAUGAUAAAUGUAUAUAUGAGCCACUUUUACAGCGAGAGUUAUACCAGCUCUAAAUGACAAAGUUAACGGUAUACUAGACGCUUUUCCCUUAAAUGUAAUUAGUUACACUCUAUUAUAACAAAUAAAUAUAUAUCUUUAUAUUUGAGCAACAAAUAGAAUAAUAAUAUUUUAAUUUACAUAAUCUAAAAAAAAUUGGUGCGAGGGCAAAUAUAAAUUAUUAAUUUUGAAACUAUUAAAUUUAAAAUAUUACUCUCCAAUCUGUAUUAAGUGAUGUUUUUAGCUUAAACCGAUUCAGGAGAGAAGGUGUGAAACCUAAAAGGAGGAGGAAGACUCCACUUCAAUUCAACGUUCUAAAAUAAUAUAAUAUUGACAAGUACUUACACAUCUUCUACGUAAUUUCCCAAUUUCUUGUAUUAAGUGAACAUAUUCUACAGUUAAGUCAUGCUAUUCACACUUGCUUCUACACUAUACCCCUCACUUUUUGAUUUUUCAUAAAUACCUUGAUUAUUUCACAAUCUUAUUUAUAUAUAUAGAUAUACGUCAGAUUUAAUCUCAAAGGCAAUUAAAUAUUUAAUUGUUGAUGCAUUCAAGUUAUUUUGAUAUGAAAGUGGGCAAUUACUUAUUCUCAAACAAGAAUAAUGAUGGGAAUAGUCAUGAUGAUAAUAAUUCUAGGAAUAAUAAGGCAUCAUCAUUGAGGUUGAGAUUCAAAAAUUCGUGUUUGAGGAAGAAGAAGAGGAUAUACAAAUUGCGUAAUUGGUUCAUUGACUCAAUUUUAUUCAAGAUUGUCUCUCUCUUUGAAGCAAUUGUUAUGGUUUCUACCUUAGCUUUCUUCUUAUUCUCUUAUGGUUUUUGUAUUUGAUAUAUUCUCUGUAAACCAAGGGUUCAUUAUUAUUGGACAAAAGUUGAUAUCUAAUGGGGUGUAAGGUUCAUUUGAUUUAUUUAGUUUUCUUUGCUGAUAUUCUCGUGUUUAUACACUAGGGUUCCCAUUUUGCCGUUCAGUUUUUCGAUUUCGACGUUUUCUUUAUUGUUCAUGACUCAAUAAAAUACAUAAUUCAAUAAAUAAGUAAACAACUUAUAUAUAAUAAAUUCGAAGUAUGAAUUCAAGUAAUUACAACAGUUGGGUUUUAAAAUGUGUCAAUGAGAAAUGAAGAGUUGUGACUUUUAUGAAAGGUUGUGACCUUUCCGAAAGAUUGUGGUUUUUCCAAAAGGUUGUGGCAUUUUCGGUAAGGUACAAUAAGAUCAUUUUCACACUACCCUUUGUUUUAUUAUAAAUUGAGGGAUUUCCUCUCAUUUUAAGAGAACCAAUUUUCUGGACUUCUUCUACUAUUACUACUAAAUCUAGUAUUCUAAGUGUAUAUUAUUGUUGUUGAGUGGUUCGCUGACACCGUAGUUUUAGGUACCAAUACACCGGUAAGUAAGAUCGUUCUAUUCUGGGAGGAUAUAUUUCAUUAACCUCGGGUACUUGAGGGGAAUAAUUUCCUUAAGGGGACACUGUGCAUUCAGUGGACUCAAUUUUCUUCUUUAAGAAAAUAUUUUGUAUAUUGUUUCUAAUAUGUUUCUGAUUCUAUUUUCUCUACUAGUUUUAAUUUUCUAGUUUUGAAAAUACUCUUUAAAUGUUGUUGUUUCUUAUCAAGUUCUUCAAAGUUUUUGUUCUAAGUAUCUUAGGAAUACAACAUGACCAACAAUCUUAAGGCAAUUAGUAUAGUACUAUUAAUACUAGAAAACUUGUCCGCGCUUCGCGCGGUAUAACAAUAAUUUAAAAUAAACUUUUUAUAAAUUACCUAUUCAUGAAAUAUAAGUUGCAGUACUUCAAGUUCAUAUGAUUUUUUUUUUUGCCAAAACCCUUAUAUUCAUAAGUUAUAAUAGUUAAUCAAUAAUAAGAAGGACAUUAAUAUUUUGAUAUAUUAUGUUAGCAAAAUAGAAAAUUAAUGAAUCAGAAAUAAUUUAACAAUCUAAAAGUGAUUACUUUUAAAUCUAUAAUACAAUAUGAAUAAAGCUUGAAUUUUGUAGGUCAUCAACUUUUAUUGAAAAAUAAAAAUAAAACUAAAAGUAUAAUAGUACUAUGAAUGACCCAGUAUCGACUAAAAGCAACAUUGAUAUUAAUUUGCUCAAAUCAAAUAAUAAGAAUAUCGACUAAGAACAACAUUGAUACUGGGUCAUUCAUAGAUUAUUUCUUAUUAUUUGAUCUGAGCAAAUUAAUAUCAAUGUUGCUUUUAGUCGAUACUGGGUCAUUCAUAGUACUAUUAUACUUUUAGUUUUAUUUUUAUAUUUCAAUAGACAUUUAAGAACAGCAUUGAUAUACUUAUAACAUAUAGAUAUCGAUCUUUAGUAGAAGAAAUAAUCUAAGAAUUCAAAAUAAAACGAUAAAUCAAAUUCUAUUUAUAUAUUAAAAAAAUACAUUUUUUAUGCAGUUUAUGACAAUUAAUUUUUGAAAUAAAUAAAGAAAUAAAAAAGUAAAAAGAAAAAAGAAAUGAUUUAAGGAAAUGAUACACAUAACAUUAUUGAUGAAUUUAAGGAAAGAAAUUUAAAAAAUUAAUAGCAUCAAUGAUGAAAUGAUUUAAAUAUGGGCGUAUUUGAUAAUUCAAUAAGGUUUUGAGGUAGAAUUUUUAGUCUUUCCAAAAUUUGGAAAAGUAUAAAAAAAAAUAGAAAAAUAAUAAAUAAACUUCCACAUAAUUUUUAACAAUUAGUAAGGAAAAUAUAACAGAAAAUGUCAAAAAAAAUUGAUUAAAAUAAACAAAUAUCUGAAAUAAGAAGGUUGUCAUCUUUUUCUAAUUUUAAUUUUAUUAUUACGCAUAUAUAUGAAUCUUUAGCCGAAAGAAGCGAUAUAAAUUAAAAAAGUUAAAUUUCAUAAAAAAAAAAUAUAUGUGAUUCUUACCAUGUUAUAAUUACUAAUUUCUUGUAAAAAAUAAAUUAAAAAAGGUAAAAGAAUUAUAAAAAAAAAAAGCAUUAAGGAAAUGAUAUGAAUGAAAGUAAUAAUCAAGAUGAAGUAAGAAAAAAUAAUAUGAUUGAUGAUGAAUGGAAUUAAAUGUAGUCACUUUGAUAUUCACUAAAAUUUGAAAGUAAAAUUUUCAGUUUUUUAAAAUAAUUCUUUUUAUAAAAUUUAAAAAACGAAAAAAAAACAAUAAAAUAAAACAAACUUCAAUCAAAGUUAUAUUAAAGAAAUAAAACAAACUUCAAUUAAAUUUCUUCAAUUAAAGUUAUAUAAAAGGGAAAAAAAACUACAAUUAAAGAUAGAUAGGGAAAAAACAUUUUAAGAGAAAAAUAACAAAAAAAAACGGAAAUUAGAAAUAAAUGACAAAUUAAAGUCUAUUUCUGUAUUAAAAAAUGCAUUUUUUAAAAUAAAGUUAUAACAAUUAAUUUUUAAAAUAAAUAAAUAAAAAGAACAAAGAAAGGAAAAAAUUAAUUUAAGGAAAUGAUAUAAAUUACAUUAAUGAUGAGUUUAAGGAAAGAAAAUUUUAAAAAUUAAUAGCAUCUAUGAUGAAAAGGAUUUAAAUAUGGUCAUAUUUUGAUAUUCUGCAAAAUUUUCAAGGUAAAAUUUUCAUUAUUUUUAAAAAAAUAGGAAAAAUGCACAAAAUAAGAAUUAGAAAAAUAAAUAAAUAAACUUCUAGACACAAUUUUUAGCAAUUAUUUUAAGAAAAUAUAAAGAGAAAAAUGUCAUAAAAAUAUGAUAAAAUAAAUAAAUAUAGGUUGUCAUCCUUUUCUAAUUUUAACUUUAUUAUUACGUAUAGAUAUGAAUCUUUUAACAGAAGAAAUGAUCUAUGUUUAAAUAAAAUAAACUAAAUUUCGUAAAAUAUAUAUGCAAUUCUUACCAAUUUAUAAUAACUAUUUUCUUGUAACAAAAAAAUAAAUAAAAAGUAAGAAAGAAAGAAAGAGAAAAAAGCAAUUUAAAGAAAUGAUAUAAAUGAGAAUAAAGAGAUCAAACUAAGGCAAGGAAGUAAAAAAAAAGUAUGAUUAAUGAUGAAUGAAAUUAAAUAUUCAAUAAAUUUGAAAGUGAAAUUUUCAGUCGUUUAAAAUUAAAAAAAAUAUAUUAAAUUUAAAAACAAAAACAAAAAACUACAAAAAUAUAGACAAACUUCUGUUAAAAAUAUAUAAAAGAUAAUAAAACAAACUUUAAUUAAAGAUAGAUAAGGAAAAAUAAAUAAUUAUUAAUUUUGAAUCUGUCAACUUAAAAAUGUUACUCCCUUAAGUCAUACUAGGUGAUGUUUUUAGCUUCGAUAAAUCUAAAAAAGCAUGUGAAAUGUCAUUAAAAAAAUAAUUUAAUUCAACGAUAUAAAAUAAUAUUAACAAGUACGUACAUAUCUUCUACGUGAUUCCCACUUUCUUUGAAUUCACUAUCUCUUUCCUAAAGGGUGCAAUUAAGUCAUGCUAUUCAUAAAGGGUGCAUCCAGCCCCCCACUUUUGAUAAUUCAUAAAUACCUUUUUUCCACAACCUUAUAUAUAGGUACACCAAAACCCCCUCAUUGCCUCAUCAAACUCAUCAUCUAUAUUGUUCUAUAUCCAAAGAAACAAACUAAGUCAAGAAUCCAAGUGAAAAUAGUUGUUACAUUCAAGUUAUUUAGAUAUGAAAGCAGAAGGUUAUUUGUUGUCACUCAAGAUGCUAAACAAGAACAAUAUUGAAAAUAUUAGCGCGCCUAAACGUGUUAGCAAUGUUGGUGGUUCUCAAGAUGAAAAUAAUUGUAGUACUAAGACAUCAUCGUUGAGGUUGAGAUUCAAGAAUUCGUGUUUGAGGAAGAAGAAGAGAAUAUACAAAUUGCGCAAAUGGUUCAUUGACUCAAUUUUAUUCAAGAUUGUCUCUCUUUUUGAAGCAAUUGUUAUGGUUUCUACCUUAGCUUUCUUCUUAUUCUCUUAUGGCUUUCGUAUUUAAUUCUUAUUUGUAUCUAUAUAUAUUCUCUGUAAACAAGGCUUCAUUUUGGACAAAAGUGGAUAUGUAAUGGGGUGUAAGGUUCAUUUGAUUUAUUAAUUUAGUUUUCUUUAUUGAUAUUCUCAUGUUUAUACACUAGGAUUCCCAUUUUUCGAUUUAGACAUUUUCUUUUUUGUUCAUGACUCAAUAAAAUGCAUACUUAAACAAAUAAGUAAAUAACUUAUCUCCCCCUUGGAUCAUUCGUCCUUGAAUGACGGCUGAACUGGGUAUGGAAUGGGGUUACUCUUAUCAUCUCCUCUGACCCAUGAACUUGUGUAACGACCUAUUCUCGUCGUUAUAAAAAAAUCAACGGGGAAAAAUUUUGGGCCGGAAAACUUUUUCGUAGUAUCUUGUGAUUUUCCAACCUAGUCCAGAUUUAAACGAAAUCAGAGUCAUUAAAGUAUAGGGAAAUCUGGUAACAAUUGUGUGGUCCAAUUUUGAAUUUGAUCACAUCAGUGGAUAGCUAAGACGUUAAGGAAUUCGUACGACUUUACAGAAUUGAAUUCAGGCAAGUAGAACUUCCGAAAUUGACCUUAGCGUGAACGGGUAUUCUCUAAGUGUCAUGGGAUGAAGGUGGGUAGUGAAAUGGGAGUUUGGAAUUCUUAAAUCGACUCACUGGUCCGUGCAAGCCGCUAAGGCGGGAUUAUUCCCGCUAGGGCAGGGCAACUGUAGUGGGGUGAGUACCGCUGUGGCGAGACAGUCGCGACUUAAAGUCGGAAAUAAACCCCAAAAUCAUUUAUUCUGCAAUUUCGAACUUGAGAGCUAAGGAACGAACCCAGGGGUUUUCUUGACAGUUUUCCACCAUUCUUGAGGCUAAAGGUAAGAUUUUAACUCCCCGAAUCCGUUUUUCGACCGUAGAACGUAAUCUAAUGGGUAAUUAUCGAUGGGGGAUGGUUUUGAUCUGGAAAUUAUGGUGGAAAAAGGCCUAAUCUGGGUAUAAGGAUCAUGGGUUUGAUCUAGGGUUGAUAGGAUUGUUGGUAAUCCGAGUAAUUAGUUAUUGUUUAUUGAUUUCCGUGUUAUAAUGAUUAUUUGUAGACCAAGACAAGUGGAACGAAUCCGGAAAGGGAAGGAUCAAGUUUCUUAGGGGAUUCAAGGUAGGUGAUGUAUGUUUGUUCUUGCUUUAUUAUGAUACAUGUUUGUAUACAAAUGUUGCAUUAUUGAUCACAUUAAUUUUAAAUAAGGAUAGAUGAAUGAUGAAUUCCAUGAAUCAUGACUUGAUUGUAAGAUUGUGAGAAUGUACUUUGUGAUUGUGAUUGUGGCUUAUUGAAUGGAUCAGGUGUUGCGUUCCGACACACUAACUUGGAUCGAUUGCCACGUUCUAGCAUAAUUAUGUGAUCGGUUGCCACGUUCCGGCAUAAUCAUUGGAUUGGGUACCACGUUCCGGUAUGCGAACAGUUUGGGUUUGGGUUCCAUGAGAGGACCAUUGACUUGACAUAACUGUAUAAUUGAGACUUGUGAAAUGCUCCAUUGUUAUUUAAUGUUGUUGAUAUUGAAUAUAUUCGGUAUAUGCAUGUUAUUAUAUUGUUGUAAUGGCUUAUGUAUGUUGCACUUGUGGGAUAGCCGCAUGAUCCUACCAGUACACUGUGGUUUUGUACUGAUACUGCACUUGCUCUUUCUUUGUUGAGUACAUGACAUCUUCAGGUAGCUAUUAACAGACCUCGCUUCAAGGGUGAGCCAGUUCUUCUAGGCUGCCAUGAGUUCUCUUUCUGUCUAUGUCCAUAUUUCGGACUUAGACUAGUUCUUUAGUUAGUCUUAUGUUUAGUUUGGGGUUGUAUUCCUUCUUAUUUAGACUCAUGGUUGAACUUUAGAUGUUUUGGUACGUUGACUUUCAGGUUCUUGGCGUAUUUUUCCGCAUUUGUUUAGUUGUUAGACUAUUUUUUGGAGUUUAUGGGAACUCUAUAUUCCUUUCCUUAGCAUUUAACUUGUUUUCGUAACUUAAAUGCCUUAGUAUUUUGGUUGCGUUGUUAGUUUGGGUUGUAGUAAUGGUUCUCCCACUGGAGGAUUAGUGUAGGUGCCAAUCACGAUGGUCUGGGUCGUGAACAAGUUGGUAUCAAACCCCUAGGUUCGUUGAUCUUGAUAUACCAAAACGAGUUUAGUAGAGUCUUGCGGAACGGUAUAUAGACGUCUAUACUUUUCUUCGAAAGGCUAUAGGACUUUAGGAAAUCUCUCUAUUUUCUCUUGACUCCUUUCGUGCUAUAACUUGAUUCCAAUUGGUAUCUGUCGAUUCGAAUUGGUAUCUAACCUCUUUCACUCUUCUGUCCGCAGAUGGUUAACACUAGAUUCAACAGCGUCAGGCUCGUAGCUUCCAUCAAUGCUCUAGCUGAGGAAUCUGCAGCAAAAGGUCCUGGUCGAGGCAGGGGUAGAGGAAGAGCUAGGGGUAGAGGCCGAGGAAGGGUGGCGCCUACUAUGGAUGGAGCACCGGUUGGAGAUGCUCCCAGAAAUGAGUCCCCUCCUGCGCACCAUGAAGAGGUAGAGGAGAACAUGGAAGUUGAGAAUGUUGGACAAGAGGAAGAGGUGCAGGCUGAGACUACAGGUAUUCCUCAUUUGGACCCAGUGUUAGCUCAAAAUAUUAUGUCGUUCUUAAAAGGAUUGGUUGGUCCUGGAGUGCUUCCCUCUGUUCAAGCAACUCAAGCUCCCGCCAAUCCUCUUAUUUCUAUCACUGUCCCAAGGUGGGUGGAACUGGAGGUAAUGAUGAUUUCUUCCAUCCUUUGUUGGGUCCAAUUAUGACUGGUAAUGAGCAUGAGAUGUUGACUAAGUUCUUGAAGUUGAAACCGCCUGUGUUCCAUGGUUCUGAGAGUGAGGAUGCAUAUGAGUUCAUCCUAGAUUGCUAUGAGAUGAUUCAUAAGUUGGGAAUUGUCCAUCAACAUGGGGUUGAGUUCGUGACUUUUCAGCUUCAAGGUGAGGCUAAGCAGUGGUCAUUCGCUAGUUAGUAAGGCACAAGGGGGUACUAAGACUCCUACAUGUGCUAAGUAUAGUAGAAACCACUCAGGGAUGUGUCGUGAUGACUCCACUAGUUGCUUUCAAGUGUGGCCAGAACGGUCAUUUUAUGAGAGAGUGUCCUAAGAGUAUGCAGGGUAACGGUAAUGGGGGUAAUAGAGCCCAGUCUUCUUCAGUUGCUCCACCAGACAGAGCUGCAUCUAGAGGAGCUAAUUCAGGGGCAAGCGGAGGAGGAAAUCGUCUGUAUGCUAUCACUAGUCACCAAGAGCAAGAGGAUUCACCAGAUGUUGUCACUGGUAUGAUCUAAGUCUUCAAUUUUGAUGUUCUUCCUGAGCAACUUCUUGAGCCUUCAGUGUUUCUACACCUGAUGGUGAGUCUAUUCUAGCAGAAAGAGUCUAUCGUGAUUAUUAUGUUUCCGUCAAUCACAAGAGUACCAUGGUUGAUUUAGUUGAGUUAGACAUGGUAGAUUUUGAUGUCAUUCUAGGUAUGGACUGGCUGCAUGCCUGUUAUGCAUCAAUAGAUUGUAGAACUCGAGUAGUUAAGUUCCAGUUUCUAGUGAACCAGUUAUAGAGUUGAAGAGCAGUUCAGCAGUGCCUAAGGGUCAUUUUAUUACGUACCUUAAGGCGAGAAAGUUAGUUUCCAAUGGGUGUGUCUAUCACUUAGUCCGAGUUAAUGACAUAAGUGUUGAGAUACCUCUUAUUCAGUCAGUUCCUAUAGUAAAAGAGUUUCCAGAAGUCUUUCCAGAUGAUCUACCCGGAGUCUCUCCUGAGAGAGAGAUAGACUUCGGUAUAAAUGUUCUUCCAGAUACUCGUCCUAUAUCUAUUCCGCCAUACAGAACGACACUAGCAGAGUUGAAAGAGCUUAAAGAGCAGUUGAAAGAUCUUUUAGAGAAAGGUUUCAUUCGACCAAGUUUCUCACCUUGGGGAGCUCCGGUCUUAUUUGUGAGAAAGAAAGAUGGUUCCCUUAGGAUGUGUAUAGAUUACCGCCAGUUGAACAAGGUUACCAUCAAGAAUAAGUAUCCUCUUCCGAGAAUUGAUGAUCUUUUUAUCAACUUCAGGGUGCUUCUUGUUUUUCUAAGAUAGACCUCAGAUCUGGCUACCAUCAGUUGAGAGUAAGGGAAUGUGAUAUUCCAAAGACAACAUUCAGGACCCGUUAUGGUCAUUAUGAGUUCUUAGUUAUGUCCAUUGGUUUGACCAAUGCGCCUACAACAUUCAUGGAUCUUAUGAAUAUAGUAUUCAAACCUUAUUUAGAUAUGUUUGUUAUCGACUUCAUCGAUGACAUACUAAUAUAUUCAAGGAAUANNNNNNNCCUCUUCCGAGGAUUGAUGAUCUUUUCGAUCAGCUUCAGGGUGCUUCUUAUUUUUCAAAAAAAGACCUCAGAUUCGGCUACCAUUAAUUGAAGGUAAGGGAAUGUGAUAUUCCCAAGACAACAUUCAGGACCCGUUAUGGUCAUUAUGAGUUCUUAGUUAUGUCCAUUGGUUUGACCAAUGCGCCUACAACAUUCAUGGAUCUUAUGAAUAUAGUAUUCAAACCUUAUUUAGAUAUGUUUGUUAUCGACUUCAUCGGUGACAUACUAAUCUAUUCAAGGAAUGAAGAAGAUCAUGCUAGCCAUCUCAAGAUAGUUAUUCAGACUUUGAAAGAUAAGGAGUUAUAUGCUAAUAAGUUCUUUAAAUGCGAGUUUUGGCUUGAGUCUGUGGCAUUCUUGGGUCACAUAGUUUCCGGUGAUGGAAUUAGAGUUGAUACCCAAAAGAUAGAGGCAGUGCAGAGUUGGCCUAGACCCACAUCUCCAACUGAUAUUAUGAGUUUCUUAGGUUUGGCUGGAUAUUAUAGAACGUUCGUAGAGGGGUUCUCGUCUAUUUCGUCCCCUUUGACCAAGUUAACUCAGAAAACAGCGAAGUUUCAAUUGUCUGAAGCUUGUGAGAAAAGCUUUCAGGAAUUGAUAAAGAGGUUGACUACUGCCCAGGUUUUGACGCUACCAGAAGGUACUCAAGGUUUUGUGGUGUAUUGUGAUGCAUCUACAAUUGGCUUGGGUUGUGUAUUAAUUAAUGCAGAAUGGUAAAGUUAUAGCUUAUGCCUCCAGACAGUUGAAGAAAAAUUACCCAACCCAUGACUUAGAGUUGGCUACCUUAGUAUUUGCUUUGAAGAUAUGGCGUCAUUUGUAUGGUGUUCAUGUUGAUGUAUUCACUGAUCACAAGAGUCUUCAAUAUGUGUUCACUCACAAAGAGCUUAAUCUCAGACAAAGGAGGUGGUUAGAAUUACUCAAGGAUUAUGACAUGAGUAUUCUUUACCACCCAGGUAAGGCUAAUGUUGUUGAUGAUGCUUUAAGUAGGUUGUCUAUGGGUAGUACUGCCCAUGUGGAGGAGGAAAAGAAAGAGUUAGCGAAAGAUGUGCAUAGACUUGCACGCUUAAGAGUCCGACUGAUGGAUUCCACAGAAGGAGGAGUAGUGGUGAUGAAUGGGGUUGAAUCAUCAUUAAUGUCAGAAGUAAAAGAGAAGCAAGACCAAAAUCCCAUUUUGCUUGAAUUGAAGGCAAAUGUUCAUAAGCAGAAAGUUAUGGCUUUUGAACAAGGGGGAGAUGUCGUACUGCGAUAUCAAGGUAGAUUGUGUGUACCAAUGGUGGAUGGACUCCAAGGGAGGAUCAUGGAGGAAGCUCAUAGCUCUAGAUAUUCCAUUCACCUGGAUUUCACAAAGAUGUAUUGUGACUUGAGAGAGGUAUAUUGGUGGAAUAGUAUGAAGAAGGGCAUUGCAGAAUUUGUUGUUAGGUGUCCAAAUUGCCAACAAGUUAACGUAGAGCAUGAAAUGCCCAAUGGUUUGGCUCAGAAUAUAGAACUUCCGGAAUGGAAGUGGGAGAUGAUAAACAUGGAUUUCAUCACAGGCUUGCCAAGGUUUCGCACGCAUCAUGACUCCAUUUGGGUGAUUGUUGAUAGAAUGACAAAAUCAGCCCACUUUUUGCAGGUAAAGACUACCCUUUCAACAGAAGAUUAUGCCAGGUUGUAUAUUCAGGAGGUGGUAAGACUUCAUGGAGUCCCUGUUUCGAUUAUAUCAGAUAGGGUGCUCAAUUUACUACACAGUUUUGGAAGUCAUUCCAGAAAGGCCUGGGUUCAAAGGUGAACUUGAGUACUGCUUUUCAUCCUCAGAUAGAUGGUCAAGCAGAGAGCACUAUUCAGACCUUAGAGGAUAUGUUGAGGGCAUGUGUGAUUGAUUUCAAAGGUAAUUGGAAUAAUCACCUACCCCUUAUUGAAUUUGCAUACAAUAAUAGUUCCACUCUAGCAUCCAGAUGGCUCCACAUGAAGCUCUUUAUGGGAGAAGAUGCAGAUAUCCUAUUGGAUGGUUUGAAGUUGGUGAAGCAGGGUUGAUAGGACCAGAUUUAGUUCAUCAAGCUAUGGAGAAGGUGAAAGUAAUUCAAGAGAGGUUGAAAACUGCACAGGGUCGUCAAAAAUCCUACACUGAUGUUAGGAGAAGGGAGUUAGAGUUUGAAGUAGAUGAUUGGGUAUAUCUAAAAGUCUCACCCAUGAAGGGUGUUAUGAAGUUUGGUAAGAAGGGGGAACUUAGUCCCCGAUAUAUUGGACCUUAUCGAAUAUCCAAGAGGAUUGCCAAGGUAGCUUAUGAGUUAGAGCUACCACAAGAGUUAGUCGCGGUUCAUCCAGUGUUUCGCAUCUCCAUGUUGAAGAAGUCCAUGAGCGAUCCUUCAUUGAUCACAUCAACUGAAAAUAUUGGGAUCAAGGAUAGCUUAUCUUAUGAGGAAAUCCGGUUCAGAUUCUAGAUCGCCAAGUUCGCAAGUUAAGGACAAAAGAGGNNNNNNNNNNNNNNNNNNNNNNNNNNNNNNNNNNNNNNNNNNNNNNNNNNNNNNNNNNNNNNNNNNNNNNNNNNNNNNNNNNNNNNNNNNNNNNNNNNNNNNNNNNNNNNNNNNNNNNNNNNNNNNNNNNNNNNNNNNNNNNNNNNNNNNNNNNNNNNNNNNNNNNNNNNNNNNNNNNNNNNNNNNNNNNNNNNNNNNNNNNNNNNNNNNNNNNNNNNNNNNNNNNNNNNNNNNNNNNNNNNNNNNNNNNNNNNNNNNNNNNNNNNNNNNNNNNNNNNNNNNNNNNNNNNNNNNNNNNNNNNNNNNNNNNNNNNNNNNNNNNNNNNNNNNNNNNNNNNNNNNNNNNNNNNNNNNNNNNNNNNNNNNNNNNNNNNNNNNNNNNNNNNNNNNNNNNNNNNNNNNNNNNNNNNNNNNNNNNNNNNNNNNNNNNNNNNNNNNNNNNNNNNNNNNNNNNNNNNNNNNNNNNNNNNNNNNNNNNNNNNNNNNNNNNNNNNNNNNNNNNNNNNNNNNNNNNNNNNNNNNNNNNNNNNNNNNNNNNNNNNNNNNNNNNNNNNNNNNNNNNNNNNNNNNNNNNNNNNNNNNNNNNNNNNNNNNNNNNNNNNNNNNNNNNNNNNNNNNNNNNNNNNNNNNNNNNNNNNNNNNNNNNNNNNNNNNNNNNNNNNNNNNNNNNNNNNNNNNNNNNNNNNNNNNNNNNNNNNNNNNNNNNNNNNNNNNNNNNNNNNNNNNNNNNNNNNNNNNNNNNNNNNNNNNNNNNNNNNNNNNNNNNNNNNNNNNNNNNNNNNNNNNGUAUCAAGGAUAGCUUAUCUUAAGAGGAGAUUCCUAUUGAGAUUCUAGAUCGCCAAGUUCGCAAGUUGAGAACAAAAGAGGUAGCAUCAAUCAAAGUCCUUUGGAGAAACCAAUUUAUUGAGGAAUCUACUUAGGAAGCUGAAGAGGACAUGAAGAAGAGAUAUCCACAUCUCUUUGAAUCCAGAGAAAGUGCAGACCAAGGUACUAAUUCUCUUCUUAGUACUCUUUAAAUUAUGAAUAAGCAUGUUGUUUGUUUGCAUUUGCUUGUUAGGUGUUUGAACCUGAUAAUACACCCUUAGCCUAGUAAGAGUAAUCUCAUUCGAGGAUGAAUGUUCCCAAGGGGGAGAUAUUGUAACAUCUCGCAAAAUUGAAAUAACUAGGAAGAAGCCAAUAAUUGGAAAUAGUCAUUUUUGGAAAGAAUGAAAAUCUGGAAAUUUUGUUAAAGUUAGAAUAAGUUGAGUUUUGGUCAACUUCAAAUGGACAUAACUUCUAGAUCAGGAUGAGUUAAGUGUACUUCCAGAUAUGGUAGGAAAGCUCUUGGAAUGAUCUUUCCAACGCCGCUGAAUUUGCGCGAUUCCGAGUUUGUAUGAGUGAGUUAUGCCCUUUGGAAGUUGGGUUGUUGGAAUAAGGAAAGUCCAAUCCGGAUUUUGGAAGGGUAAUUUAGUAUUUUCCUUACCUAAUUAUUCUAAUUCAUUUUUAGGAGUUUAAUUGGAGUAAAGUCAGAUUUUAGUCAGUUUAGAAAAGUGAAUUUUAUGCUAGGGCUUGGAGAAGAGGAGAAAAGAGGACUUGUGGUUUUCGUCGGGGGUGAUCCCUACAAGGUAUGGGAGAUCACAUAGCGUUGGGUUAGUUCACCCACGCGCCCAACUUGAUUCAAUUUCAGCUAAGUAUAUUGAUUUGAAAGUAAAUCCCUUGAAUUCUUGAUGAAGUUCGUUUGAAUCCUUGUGGGUUGUGUAGUUGGAGUUUUCUUGAAAUUGAUUCACGCUAUUCAUUGUGUUUUCGAGUGGAAUCUGAUGUUAUUUGAGGGUAUAAAUGAUUCUAAGUGUUUGGGGAAAGAACCCAUGGAGUUUAAAGGGUUUAGAGCUGUAAAACGAAGAAGAAAAUUUCGUCGGACAAAUCUGGGCAGUGCCUCCGCGUCGCGGACCGUUCUUCCUUAAAAGUUGUUUUCGAAACAAAAAUUUUAAUGUUUCUCCGCGUCGCGGGCCCACCCUCAGACAGUGAAUUUUUUUUAUCUUUUCUCAUGUUUAGCUAUCUAAAUUCAUCCCUAAACAUCAUGAGAUCUUUCCUAUCACAAAUCACAAUCCUUGAAUCCAUAAUUCAAUUCAAGGAAAGUUAAUAGUCAAGUUAGAAGUUAAGAAGUAAGUCAAGAGAAGUUCUUUAAAGCUUUCAAAAGUCUUUCACAAGCGUUUUAACUUUGUUAUAAGACUUAAGUUUUAAGUUAAGCAAAGAGUAAAGAUUUGAAGUUCAUUUCUUCAAAGAAGUAUAUGCGGACUAUGUAUUCCCCAAGAGUUUAAAAUGUUUUCACAUUUGAGCAAGAAAGGGAACAUCAAUUCCAAGAGAGCUUUUAAGCUAAGUUUUUGAGUAAUUAUCUCAAAUCAAAGAAAGAAGUUUGUUUUAAAAACAUAUGAGCUAAGUAUAUUUUAGGAGUAGUAUUGAGCACCGAAAUGGGGAUGGGAGUUCAUAUUAACUCAAGUCUCCAUAAACCAUGUAGCCCUCAUGGGUAGUAAAGGAUCAUACUUUUUAGAUGACUCCUUAAGAUGCUUUUAGCAUAAGCUAGUGGAUCUACUAAGUUAAGCGUUCUAUAUGACGGCAAAGUAUAGGACAGUUCUGGUAGCAUGGGAAAGACGUUGUAUCACCACUUAGACACAUAGUGGUGAUUGUCGGUUAGAUAAUCUCCCACAGAAACUAUAUUACUUUAUUAUAUAAGUAAAGUUGAAUUUCUUAUUGCAUUUUCUUAAACGAACUAAGUUGUUUUCCAUUGUUUUACAAGCUUUAUAUAUACUGCAUGUGUUUAAUUACUUUAUAUUGAGUUGAGUUGUUCAGGAGUUGAGUAAAGUCAAGGUAAGUGUUCCUUCCAGAUUCUUCUCAAGCUUAAGUUGUGUUUAGCAUUCCAACUCGCAUACUCGUACAUACAAUGUAUUGAUGCCAGUCGGCCUGCAUCGUCUUAUGAUACAGACGCAGGUAACCAGGAUCAGCAUCUAGCGCCUCAUUGAUCCAGUUUGAGCACUCAGAGUCUUGUGGUGAGCCUCCUUGCUUCCGGAGGAUUCCUUUUUUUUGUUUUUUAGUUUUAUUAUUAGUUCAUUAGGAUGUCGUGGGCCUAUCCCGACAUCCAUCUCAGUUGUUUAGAGGCUUCAUAGAUAGACAGACAGUCAGUUAGUUAAAUUCAUUUGUCACUACUUUAUUAUUAGCUUAUGUUUUUGAGACUUAAGGUUGCCAUUUUGGCCAAGUUGAAUGUUGACUUUUAAACAUUCUAAGUUAUGAUAUAAUUUAAGUGAGUAUAGUGCUUUUCAUCAUUAUAAAUAUGCAUAUAGUCUUCCGCUGAGUAAGUAAGUCAAACCAAGGGUUCAUUUGGGGCCAGCAAUGGUUCUCGAGUGCCAGCCACGUCCAGGGUGUAGGCUCGGGGCGUGACAGGACUAAUUCUUUAGUCUAGAAGUAACCCGAGAUAGGGCAAGUGAUGAUCCAUGCACUAGUCAUUCGGGGACGAACGAGGGGUAAAUUGGUAUCUAUUGUAAUGACUCAAACCGUCAUUAAUUUGGAAAAACAAAAAUUUGAGAAAAUUACUAGGCCACUGUCCUGCCAGGGCGGGCCAAAUACCGCUAGGGCGGCGGCUCCAUGGCGGGGUAAGCUGGCGUCAGAGCGGGAUAGGUCAGACAGAAUGUAAAUAACGUGAAAUCUUAUUUCUCCUUCUUCCUAGAAUACCUAAUUUAGACGUAAACCACCCUAGAAACCCCCAAAAAGCUGCUCUAAGCUUGGGAAGAAAGGAGAAGGAGAUUUCUAGCGUAAGGAGGUCGAGGGAUUGCAGAUUUCCGGCCAAGAUUCAUGAAGUCCAGAAACAAGAAUCGCAGCCAUAAUUCCGUGCAGCUGCUUGGCGCCCAUGUAGGCUAGGUUUUAUUAAUUGAGUAGUAUAAAUUUGUGCCCACUGCGUAGUAUAAUGAUAAUCAAUGGUAGGAUUCAUGCGCAGGCCUUAGAUAAUGAACUAGGGCUGAGUAUGAUCGAGUUGUUAUUUAAGUGAUAUAUGUUGAGGUAUACUUCUAGGUGAUGGUUGUGAUUUCAUGUUGUGUGAGUUUGUUCGUUCUUGCUUCAUUAUAAUACAUGUAUGUAUGUGAAUGUUGCAUUAUUGAUCACACUAGUUGUAAUGAGAUAGAUGAAUGAUGAAUGCCAUGAAUCAUGACUUAAUGUAUGAUUAUGAGAAUAUACUUGUGAUUGUGAUUGUGGCUUGUUGAAUGGGUCGGGUGUUGCAUUUUGACACACUAACUUGGAUCGAUUGCCAUGUUUUCGGCAUAAUUAUGGGAUCGGUUGCCACGUUCUGGCAUAAUUAUUGGAUUGGGUACCACGUUCCGGUAUGCUAACAGUUUGGGUUUGGGUCCCAUGAGAGGACCAAUGACUUGACAUAAUUGUAUAUCUUGAAAUGGUGAAGUUGUGCAUGGUUCAUAAGUGAUAUUUGAUGUUGUUUCCCCGGAAUUGUAAAUGAUUAUGAUGACUUAUUUAUGUUUGUUCUACUAUGUUGAUUUAACCGUUAUGUAUCUCAUUGUUGAAUGAAACUGAAAGGGACAAGGGUUCAAGAGUGUUAAUGUUGAGAGACAGGGGUUGUCUGUAUGUUGCAAGGGUGAGAAGUUGAGGUAGUGUACAUGAUGUAAAUACUUAGGUGGAUUUCACCUUGGAGAAAGGAGUUCGUGGCUAGUAGUUAGAAAGCUUGAUAUAAGGUACCAUGUGGCAAAGGCUGGGUAAUAUAAAAGAGGAAGUAAGGGUAUGUAGUGGAUGGUUAGUCGGAAUGCUUGUAGUAAUAUUCAUGGUCUCUUCUAUGCGUUAGAAUGGUUAGGCCAUGAUCAAGAAUCUAGUAAGUAGGUUGAAUGAGGAGGUGGUUAGUAGUAAGGGUACUGGGGUAAUUCUGAGGUAUUCAAGAGAGGGUAAAGGUGGAGAAGUGAGUGGUUUAUUGCAUGUUCUUGCUAGUUGAUUACUUAUGUUAUGCAGUAGGCGUCGGGUUGAUCGAUGAUGCCUACCAGUACGUGUGGUUUGUACUGAUACUAUUCUUGUCAUGCCUUUUGGCAUAGUCUGGAUGCAGGUCAAUGAUGUUUCAUUAAGUGAAGACGAAGAAAUCUCCAGCAGCUUCUAUUUUUCCUUCCGCAUGGUGGGAGCUAUGUCUUUUAUCUAUUAUGUCCUGUUUGUACUCUUAGUAGCUCUUGUACCUGUUUCGGCUAGAUCCUUGGAGUGUUAAUUACUUUGCAAGUUUAAACCGGAAUUGUUCUAAAAAGUUCUUAUUUAUAAAACCUUGUUUUUUUUCCUUCAUUUAUUUAUUUAAUCUUCUGCAUGUUUUAACUAUUGGGAUAUGAGGGUUCUCCUACUUAGGUGUUAGAGUAGGUGCCCGCACGCCCCGGUGGGUUGGGUCGUGACACAAUCUCCAUAUAUAUGUAGAUUUUUUGAUAAAAUUUACAAAGAAGGGCCUUAAAUGCCCCUCAAUUAUCAUUUCAAAGUAUAUAACCGCAAGUAGUAGUACUUAUUAACAGAAUAUUAAAGAGACAAUCUCCAUAUAUAUGUAGAUUUUUGAUAAAAUUUACGGAAAAGGGCCAAAAAUGCCCCUCAAUUAUUUCAUUUGGUACAAAAUUACCCUCCAUCCACCUUUCGGCCUUAAAAUACCCCUGACAUUCAUCUUAUUUUUAAUAGCUCCCUUAAAGUAAAACUAUUAAAUAUUUACUUAUUAUGUUACUUAAUAUGUUGGUCCAAAUUUAAACCCUUCUCAAAUAAAUAACAAAAAUCAUAUUUUUAAAUAUUUUUUUUAUGAAACCACAUAUGAUUCAUAUUUUGACUCGAUACACUUGAUAAUAAUAUUGAAAAAAAAAAUUAAUUUCAUGAUAUCUUCCUAUUGAUGUGUUUAAUAUCAACCCCAAUUUAUUAUAACGUAACUCAACUCAAAAAUGGGAUCCAACUAAAAUUCAUACUCACCCUGACAAAUUGUCCAUCUAAAAAUAAAUAUUAUUUUUAUUAAUAUAAAAUUUUCUAUCAAUUAUCCAAAUGUCUUGUUCAUUUUCUCUUUUAUUCUUUUUUUAAAUCUCUUAUUCUUAAUUAGGAUAUCCAGGAAUCAAAUUUGAAAUGAACUCACAUGUUUAUAUUCUUUUAAUUUGUAGUAUUGUUAUGGUGGGGUGAGAGUGGGGAUAAGAGAAAUAAUUAUUUUUAUUCUUUUAUAUUGAAUUUUGGGUACACACAAAAGAAACAUGCAAUAUUCGAAUAUAUUUGCUUAAUUAAGUCAUCUUUUAUUAAACUAAUUAUUUCUAUAUGAAUGCAUCAUUAUUUUCCUCCUUUUUUCUCUCUUGUUUGUAAUAAAUUGAAAAAAAUAAAAUUUAAAAUGCUGGACAAGAUGCAAAUAAAAAAAAAGGAAGAGAUAAAAAGUGGGGGGGAGGGGGGAGGGUAGAGAGUAGAUGCCUAACUUUUUUUAAUUUUAAUUUACAAUGAAUUCAAAAUCAAGUCAAUCAUGUGAGCUUAUAUAUUAAGUAAUUUCAAAUUAUUUUAACGGAAACUGGCCUAAAAUACCCUUAAACUAUGAGAUUUGAUACAAUAUUGUCCUCCAUCCACCUUAUGAAUAUGAUCCGUUAGAAUAAGGGUAUUUUUGAGCCAAAAGGUUGAAGUCAGAAGUAUUUGGGGGCCCAAAUAUGGAUGAAGGGUAGUUUUAAGUUUUAUAUCAAUUUAAAUAGUUGAGAGACAUUUUAGACCCUUCUCCGAAGAAUUUAUUACUAACUUAACCCGUUGAAGUUAUUUUUAUUUAUUCAUUGUGAUAGACAAUUUAUUGUUUUUUCAAUCACAAAUCUCACGUUUUUUAAUGAAAAGAUAUUUAUUAUUAUAUUCUAAGUACCUUAAUAAUGUAAAAAGUUUUAUACUAUAUAUAUAUUAUAUAAAGAAAAGUUAAACUCUAAUAUACCAAGUAAAUAUAUAUCUUUUUCUAUUCGAGUCAUAAUAAUAUAUUAAUUUACAUAAUCUCAAAAAUUUGAUGCAAGAAGAUAUAGAGUUGACAUUAUAUUUCUUUAGAUUAAAAAGAAGAUGAGGGUUGUCAUAGUUUUAGCUCAAACUCAAUUAGUAUCUUAAAAGUUUUAUUAAAUAAGUAUAAAUUAUUAAUUUUGAAUCUAUCAACUUAAAUAUGUUACUCCCUUAAGUUAUAUUAAAUGAUUAAUGAUGUUUGAAGGUUAGAUAAAUUUGAAAAAAAACGUGCGAAACAUCCUUUAAAAAAAAAAGAGAAGAAAUGUCCAAUUAUAACUGUCUAAAAUAAUAUUAACAAGUACAUACAUAUCUUCUACGUGAUUUCCAAUUUAUUUGAUUUCACACUUUCUUCUGCAUCCAGCCCCCCACUUUUGACUAUUCAUAAAUACUACCUUUUUUUUUUUCUAUAUACAAACUAUACAUAAAACCCCCUAAAUUGCCUCAUCAAACUCAUCAUCUAUUGUUCUAUAUCCAAAAAAAAUAUGCAAAGAAACAAACUAAGUCAAGAAUCCAAGUGAAAAUAGUUGUUACAUUCAAGUUAUUUAGAUAUGAAAGCAGAAGGUUAUUUGUUGUCACUCAAGAUGCUAAACAAGAACAAUAAUGGAAAUAUUAGCGCGCCUAAACGUGUUAGCAAUGUUGGUGGUUCUCAAGAUGAAAAUAAUUGUAGUACUAAGGCAUCAUCGUUGAGGUUGAGAUUCAAGAAUUCGUGUUUGAGGAAGAAGAAGAGAAUAAACAAAUUGCGCAAUUGGUUCAUUGACUCAAUUUUAUUCAAGAUUGUCUCUCUUUUUGAAGCAAUUGUUCUGGUUUCUACCUUAGCUUUCUUCUUAUUCUCUUAUGGUUUUCGUAUUUGAUUCUUAUUUAUAUAUAUAUUCUCUGUAAACCAAUGGUUCAUUAUUAUUGGACAAAAGUUGAUAUGUAAUGGGGUGUAAGGUUUCAUUUGUUUUAUUAAUUUAGUUCUCUUUAUUGAUAUUUCUCGUGUUUAUAUAAACUAGGAUUCCCAUUUUGGCGUUUAGUUUUUCGAUUUAGACAUUUUCUUUAUUUUUUCAUGACUCAAUAAAUACAUAAUUCAAUAAAUAAGUAAAUAACUUAUAUAUAAUGACAUUUUGAUUGGUAAUGGUAAGGUUUUUCAAGAACUCAAGUUCUUAGCUUGAAUGAAGAUUUUGAACUGUUUUUGAGUCGAAAUGAUUAUUUUCACCAAUGAGUUCCUAAAGCUUUGAGUAUUGCUUUCAAGUAUUAAAUUUCGAAUUCAAACCUUCCUUUUGAAAUUGAGUUUGAGUGAAUUGACCCAUUGUUCUAAGCAAUUGAUGUGGGUAUUGUUGUUUUCGGAAAGUGAUUGUGAAUAUAUACUUGCUUGUAUAUAGAUUGUGUAGCUUUGGAAGUGAUUCGGAAGGGAAGACCCAACUAUACCUCUAGCUAUUGUUAUACAAAUGACUCACAUAUACCUUUUACCUCUAACAGAAAUAAAAAAUAUUAAUUUUUAUUAAGUGUUUUAUUAAAAAAAUCCAUGUAGCACUACAACAAAAACAACUUUUAGCGAUAAUAAAUAGACAUAUUAAUAAAGAGUGUUAAAGUAUUUACCGGCAUUAGUUAAGUGUCAUUAGAUGCAGUGUCACUAAAGGCUUUAGGGACAUAUACAAAGAGUGUUAAUUACUGCUAAAAAUACAUAUUUAUCGGCAAUUGAGCUAUUGUCGUUAAUUAAUUGUCGCUAAAAAUCAUUUUUGAUGUAGUGUAGGGGUAUAUUUAAUCCUUCUGACACAUUUCUUUUCACCUUUUUAAUUCAAUGCCUAAUUUAAAUUUAUUAUUUUGAUGGUCAAAUUUUUUUUUCCACUUAUUUUUUUGUAAAAUUUAUUAUAGCUGCCCCUAUUUAUGUUACAGGUAUAAAAAAACUAAAUUACAAUAUGGCCGUAAAAAGUUAGUUUUAAUUUUUUUUUCUCUUUUUUCAUUUCUUUCUUUUUAUUUUAAUUUUAAUUUUUUACGCUAAAGAAUGAAAGAAUAAAUGAAAUAAGAUAAGAAACUCAAAUAAUAAUAAUAAUCAGAGAAGUUAAAAAGUAAUUUAUGUGUGAAAAAAUCAAAUACAUAAAUAUUAAAAAUAAUAAAAAAUUAAAUUAUUAUUUUCACUUUUGUAACGGUAGGGAUAUAUGUGAGUAAAUUUUGUAAUAAUAGAUGUAUGUAUGAUCCACUUUUACAACGAGAGUUAUAUCAGCUCUAAAUGACAAAGUUAACGGUAUACUAGACACUUUUCCCUUAUAUGUAAUUAGUUACACUCUAUUAUAACAAAUAAAUAUAUAUCUUUUAUAUUUGAGCAACAAAUAGAAUAAUAAUAUUUUAAUUUACAUAAUCUAAAAAAAAUUGGUGCGAGGGCAAAUAUAAAUUAUUAAUUUUGAAACUAUCAAAUUUAAAAUAUUACUCUCCAAUCUGUACUAAGUGAUGUUUUUAGCUUAAACCUAUUCAGGAGAGAAGGUGUGAAACCUAAAAGGAGGAGGAAGACUCCGCUUCAAUUCAACGUUCUAAAAUAAUAAUAUUGACAAGCACUUACACACAUCUUCUACGUAAUUUCCCAAUUUCUUGUAUUAAGUGAACGUAUUCUACACUUAAGUCAUGCUAUUCAUACUCGCUUCUACACUACACCCCUCACAUUUUGAUUUUUCAUAAAUACCUUGAUUAUUUCACAAUCUUAUUUAUAUAUAUAGAUAUACCAAAACCCCUCAUUGGCUCAUCAAACUCAUCAUCUAUUAUUCUAUCCUAAGAAAAUAUCACAAACUAUUUAGUCUAAGAAUUAUAUUGAUUUGAGUGCUUAUAUAUACGACGUCAUAUUUAAUCUCAAAGGUCAAUUAAAUAUUUAAUUGUUGAUGCAUUCAAGUUAUUUUGAUAUGAAAGUGGGCAAUUACUUAUUCUCAAACAAGAAUAAUGAUAGGAAUAGUGAUGAUGAUAAUAAUUCUAGGAAUUAUAAGGCAUCAUCAUUGAGGUUGAGAUUCAAAAAUUCGUGUUUGAGGAAGAAGAAGAGAAUAUACAAAUUGCGUAAUUGGUUUAUUGACUCAAUUUUAUUCAAGAUUGUCUCUAUUUUUUAAGCAAUUGUUAUUGUUUCUACCUUAGCUUUCUACUUAUUCUCUUAUGGUUUUCGUAUUUGAUAUGUUCUCUGUAAACCAAGGGGUUCAUUAUUAUUGGACAAAAGUUGAUAUCUAAUGGGGGUGUAAGGUUCAUUUGGUUUAUUAAUUUAGUUUUCUUUAUCCAUCAUCUAUCUAUCUAUCUAUCUAUCUAUCUAUCUAUCUAUCUAUCUAUCUAUCUAUCUAUCUAUAUAUAUAUAUAUAUAGGUAAUCCUUGAACUUAAUCGAAAUCUCAGCGACACAUCUUAACUUAACUAAGGUUUUAUUAUCCUCUUAAGCUAUUUUAAAAUGGAAAAAUACACCCAAAAAAUUGACGUGGCAUAGAGAGUGUGUACACUCUCUUGAAGGCAAGUGAUGAGUGAAUAAAUUGGACACAUGAGUUAUACUGCAAUAGGACCCUAGUUAACUUAAGAUAUGUCGUUGGAAUUUUGGUCACAGUUCAGAGAGGUACUUAUGCCUUAUCUCAAAUAUGUACUAUUUUGCAUUUCCAACAUAGAAAUUCUUGGGUUUUAUUUUACUUAGCUUUUGAAUUAAUUUUUUUAAGGUAAAAGAGCCUGAUAUACCCCUCAACAUUGUCAUUUAGAGCUGAUAUGUCUCUCGUUAUGAAAGUGGCUCUUAUAUACCAAGUGAAAAAAUUAAUUUUAAAUUUAUUUUUGACUUUUAACCAUGUAGGGGUAUAUAUGACCCUUCUAGCAAAGUUUAAGGUAUAUUUUAAUCUUUUUCAUACAAAAAAUGUUUUUAAACUUCUUUUAUUAUCAUUAUUUGAGUUUCUUUUUCUUAUUUUAUUUUUUUCUUUUAUUCUUUAGUGUAAAAAAAAAAUAAGUUAAAACUAUUUUUUUGGUAACUAUAUUAUAAUUUAAAACGAUUUUUUCCAGCUAUAUUGCAAUUUAUUUUUUGUAUUUGACAAAAAAUUGGGCCAUCUAUGAUAAAUUUUACAAGAAAAUUAAUGAAACAUAAAUAAAUUUGACCAUCAAAAUAAUAAAUUUAAAUUAGUCAUUGGAACAAAAAAAGUCAAAAAAUAAAUAAAUACGUGUGAUGAAGAUUAAAUAUUCCCAUAUGGAUUAUAUAUAUAUAUUUUUUAAAAGUAAUUAAAAAUUAAAUUAAAAUUAAUUUUUUUCACUUCCGUUAGAGGAAAAGGAUAUAUGUGAGCUAUUUGUAUAAUAGUAGGGGUAUUUAUGAGUCACUUUCAUAACGAGGGGUAUAUCAGCUCUAAAUGAUAAAAUUGAGGGGUAUAUCAAACCCUUUUCCUCUUUUUUAAUGUUACAUUUUAGUAAAUCAAGAUUAAAAAUGAAGAUAUUCAGGAAAGGUGAGAAUGACCUCCAUGACGGACAAGGUGAGGAAGGUGAGAUUGAGAUGAUUCGAAUAUGUGAAGAGGAGAUGCACGAGUGCCCGGUGAGGUGGUGCGCGAGGUUGACUAUGGUGGAUAAUGAUGAGGCUAGGGGUAGGCCUAAGAAGUAUUGAGGAGAGGUGAUUAGUCAUGACCCAACACACCUGCAGCUUAUCGAGGACAAGAUCCUAGAUAGGAGGAUAUGGAGAUCGAAGAUUUUGAUAUAAAGUUAUUAGGUAUAAGUCGAGCGUUGUCACUACAACAAAAAUAAUUUUUAGCAGCAAUAAAUAUGCACAUUCACAAGAGUGUUAAAGUCUUCACCAGUAUCAGUUAAUUGUCAUUGGAUCCAAUGUAGCUAUAGAUUUUAGGAACAUUUACAAAGAGUGUUAAUUGCCUCUAAAAAAUAUGUUUUGCGGCAAUAAGUUAUUGUCGUUCACUAAUUGAAGCUAACAAUCAUUUUUGGUGUAAUGUGUCUACUUUUCAUUAUUACUCUCCUACUAUCUAUAUCUUGAAUUUUAUUAUCACUUAUUUUUACUUUGCUUCAGUUAAUGUAUUAUUUGAUAUUGCUAUUGUCCUCUCUUUUCAUAUUACUUAAUUUUGAUAAGUUUUACUUGAAUCGAGGGUCUAUCGAGAAGUGAAAUUGUUUUGUAUGAAUUCAUGUGUAGAUAUUGUCCAUUAGUUUCUAAUUAAACCUUUAGUGCUGAAAUGCAUGCCUAUCUCGCAUUACAAUAAAUGGUGGAUUCUACUUCUUCUCAAUGCCAAGUUAGUGGAAAUUGUUCAAAUUUCACAAGUAUGAUAGCUUGACAUACUUUUGCUAGGUUAACACCAAUAGUAAUAUAUCACAAGUUUUAGUUUAACUUUUAGUUUCUUGAAUUUUUAUGUCGCAAGUUUAAUAGUGUAAGAGAAUAUUUAGCUCACAUUGUUAUUACACUUACCUGAAAAUGAAGCAAACUAUCAUCAUUCAACCCCACUUAAAUUAAUGUUUUCCAGGUGAAAACCAAUACAUCAUUUAGGAACUUUUGAAUGUGAAGUUACAACCUUUUUAAGUGUUUGUCAUCAGCCUAAGCUAAGACUUUGUAUUGUUUAGACUCGUGGCAUAUGUUCCGUUCGCCUUCUAAAACUGGAGAACACGUCCCCUGAUUCACUAUCCGCGCGUUGCAUGUCCAAGUCCAUGUCCAUAUUCCCAAUGCCUGCUAUCCUCUCACUCAUUGAUCCAUAAGAAUUUACUGAACCAUCUCCAAUUGGCUUAACAUACUGUUGCAUCACCAGCACGGAGAAUGUGGAGUCGAAUUCUGAUGUCACUAAAAGAUCACCAAUAGCCCCGAGCUCAGGACAGUCACACCAAUCGACUAGGCCAGCUGUUAGUGGUGAAACCACACCUCGGCCUUUUCCUACGAUAUAGAGAUCAUAGUUAUGCUGAUCCAUUAGUUUUAUGGCCUUGACAGCUUCUUCCACAUCAUUCAGCAACAGUUCUAUGUAUGUUACUGAUUUGUCAUUGGCUGUGCUGAUCUUGAACCUGUUUAAGAACUCGUCGUCCAUCAACUUUUCACUCUCUUUGUCAAUCUGGACAUUCACAUGACUUUCAUCAGCAAAUUCCGUUUGCUCUAUAUCAGAAGCACCUUCGUCUGGAAUGAACUUUACAACAGUUAGGCGUGUAUCUGGACGAUCAACCAUUCUCAAAGCAUAAGCUAGAGCUUCCCUGUCAUCAGCACCUCCGAAAAAGAGGACAACGAUAUUUUUUGCAUAGUCACUUGUUUCAGAGAGGCCACGAUCGAUGAGGAUUCCCACAGAACAAGGGGCAUUAGCUAGCACACCUUCGUUGACAGCCCGAAUUUCAGGGUUGACAUCCUCCAUUUCACCCUCGAUACCUCGUUGUUUGUGGAAAGGUAGAAUGAUGAAAGCUACACGCUUAUCUUUGGCAAUGUUGCACAUAUCUUCAUCCAUGGUGGACAAAGCAGACCUUGCUGUGAGUACUUGUACCAUCACUCCAUCUGAUCGUAGCUCAUAGUUGUCGAAAGCAGUGAUGAUCUGUCUUGUUUGUGUCUCCUCGUGUCCAAGACUUCGCGAGCCUCGUUUCCCUGAGUUGUGUACUUCUAGCAUAGAUGAUCCACGCCCGACUAAUUCUACUACUUGGAGAGCAAAGACAGUUAUUGGGGAUGCUGGCGUAGAAUGUGACGAGCCAAGAAGGUUGAUGACUGAAGGGAUGUCAUGUGUGCCAUGGAUGCAAGCAAGGACCCGAAGCUCCUCCUCCAUUCUUGCCUUCUGUAUAGUCCUUCGUUUAUGGGGAGCAAUUUCCUGCGAGGGACGGUGGAGCAUAGUCAUAGGUGUGACUAUCGCCGUCAUCACCAAAAUACCAGCCACCAUAAGGGAGUACAAUUGCGUGCUCAAAACCUGGCCAAGAUUUUCACAAAGUACAAAAUGGUUAGUCGAAAAUCCAUAUCCAGUAAAACCAAAUACAGAUUGGUAAGAAAAUCAACCUGUUGUGCCUGACCAGCUUCGAUAAUGAUCAAGGCCAUGAUACUCUUGGUGUUGCUAAGUACUCCAACAGCCAGGGCCUCCUUAAUAGUCAUUUCAGAGAAGAAAGUGGCAGCUAUUGAGCUCAAGAUUUUGGCUGAAACAAAUAAAAGUAUGUAGCCAACAAUUUCGUAAAUGCUGCCCAUUUGUCCGAAAUUGGUUCUGAGUCCACAAACAACAAAGAAAGUUGGCAUAAAAAUGCCCGUCACAAAGUCAUCAAGCUUAUCGAUAAUUUCUGCUUGAAGCACUUGAUUAGGUAUACUAAGUCCAAAGAGAAAAGCUCCAAUAAUAGGAUGUGUCCCUAAAGCAUCAGUUAUAACUCCGGAAAUAGCCAUUCCAGCAAGGAUUGAACAUAUAAAGAACUCACUAUACCCUUGUCCUUCUGGCAUUUUUCUAAUGGUCCAGCCAAUGGCACGACGAAGAUAAAAGACACAGAACAAGGCAUAAGCAAUCGUGCAAAUUAAUGCCCAAUGGAUAUUAGCUGUACUCCCUGUGACAACAUAUCCUAGUGUAAGAAUAAACCAUGCACCAAUAUCAUUGAUUACAGCUGAAGACAUAGCCAUUUUCCCUAUGUCAGUUUGGAGGAUCUUUUGUUUAUCAAGUAUCUUAGACAGGACAGAGAACCCUGUUAUAGUAAGAGCACCACCAUAGAAAAUGAAGCCUCUAACUUCUUCAUCGCGAGUAAGUGAGAAAUAUAAUAUUGUUCCCAUGACAAAAGGGAUGAUGAUACCGAUAAUAGCAACAUUUCUAGCCUUUAUUCCAAUUCGAAGAACGGAUUUCAUAUCCAUCUGCAAUCCCACUAGAAACCCAUAGAACACAAGGGCUACAUGAGCCAUUGUCUCAAUAACAUGGAAGUUGUAGUUUGGGAAAAGCAGCCUCCUGAACCUCAUGAUCCUUCCAAGUGCUGUAGGACCUAAAAGUAUGCCACUCUACAAAACAAAAUCAUCAUUCUUCAUUAAACCUUUUUUUCUAUAAAUGUCCAAAUCAAUGCAUAAUAUCUAAACAGACACUCAAACUUAGCCUUAAUUCGUCAUGUAUAAGUUGAAGUGUCUAGAUGUGCACUCUCAAAGUUAGAGCGCUUACUUACCAACUAAGGUCAAGUUUGAGCAUCUGUUUAUUCCUAAGUACACAAAACAAGAACAUGAAGAAUUAAACAACAUUUUCCCUGGAGUGUAACGCAAUGCUUAGGCUAAAGUUACCUUUAAAAGGCUACAAUAUUGCUGGAAAUGCCACAUUUAAAAAAUGCAUCUCAAAUUCCACAUCUUAAGAAUGUGUUUGAUACGACGAAAGAUUCAGAUACUAUAAACAAAAUUACUGCAAUCCUAACGGCAGUCAUUUUCCCCUUCGAUGAAAAUGUUUUCCAUAUAACCAAACAUCAAAGAAUAUUUUCUCGUGAAAAACAUUUUCAGAAAUAAUGAUUUUUAUCGUAUCGAACACACCCAAAUGUAGAAGAAAAGGACUCCCUUACUACAAAACACACCAUAUGUCAUUUGGUUGAGAGUUAGAAAGGUAGUUAUUCAUGUAUUAAAACUAGCAUAGUUAAUAUCAUAUUUCAUAACUUUUUAUUGAUUUCGCAUAAAACUCCAAACACAUCAAGAUGAAAUAACUAAUACGUAAAUAAAACAUUUACUUCAUCCGUUUCAACUUGUUUAUCUAAGUUUUGACUUGACACGAAAUUCAAUAAUGUAAAAAAAACUUUUGAAUCUUGUAGUCUUAAAUUAAAAAUACGUAGAAUUUACCAAAAUACCCUUCAAUCUUACAUCCUUAAACAUGGCACGUAGAAAGUUAAAAUUAAGGAGUUGUCAAAAAAAGAAGGACAACUUUUUUAAAACAUGCUAAAAAGGAAAGUAAAACAAACAAAAUGACAUGAAGGAAGUAUAAGUCAAUGUAAUAUACAAUAUUAUGCAGAGCAGAAGAUAAAAUAACUAAUCAUUACGUUAUUAAUACAUGCACAACUCUAAUCAACGAACAUAAGAAUCGAAAUAAGAAAAUUUCAAAGAAUAUACUUACAAUAAUCUCAGCAACAAAAGGAGGUUGCUUGGUGGGUUUUAAGACAAAGGUGACAAAACGAGUGAUCAAUAUAGCUAAUGAAACUUGAAUAAAGAAAAGAGGGAUAAUUGGUGUCAAAGGAUCUGGUCCUUCCCAAACUCCAUUAAAUCUAUAAAUUGUUUGUGCAUAACAUAGAACUUUUUCAUUUAAUUUUCCAACAUCAAUCAAUGGCUCUGGAUCUGCCAUUUUUGCCUUUCUAAUGUUCAACAACAACAACAAUAACGACAACAAAAAGAUUUUUUCCCUCUUAAAUCACAAAAAUUGUACAAUCAAAAUUUGUACAUUAUUUUUCUUGAACACCCUUUUUUUGUUUUGUCUAGUCUUGUGCCAGGACAGGGAACAACCCUGGCUACAACCCUAUUUUGAUAUUUAGCCACCACAACAAAUGGAGAUAUGUAUAAAAUGGAACAUGAGUAAAACUAAAGAUAUGGUUGUCACCAUGUGAAAAAUAGUAAAAACUUGUUUCUUUACCAACAAAGCUUUGUUCAAAGUGAAUGGUUUUCCGCUCAAUUUGGAAGCUUAAAACAUUUUUUAAUUUUUUUGAGGUUGUUAUUUGACAAAAAAAAAAAAACUUGAAUUGUUGUCAAAUCCAACAUACAAAUAUAUAUAGUUUGUAUGUAAGAUAAUGUUAUGAAGAAAAAAAAAAACCGGAGAAACAUUUGGAGUUUUAGGGACAACCAGCCUGUUCUCAAGAAUUUUCAUAUUUACUAACGGAUCAUCGGGUUUCACGGCCCAAUUAUUUGAAUUUGGAUACCUAGACCGAGUUUACACUAAACCGAAUUUAUAGGAAAUAUCCAAGCUACCAGAACAAUUGAGAAAUUCAAUAAAAGAUUAUGCACAAGGUGAAGGAGUCUACUGCAGAUUCUUUAGCAUCAGCAUGGAAAGCAAAGACUUGCAAUUAUAUUUUUCAACGAUUAAUUAUAUCAUAGUGGAAAAAUUAAGAGAAUUCAACGUUAAAGCAACAAGUGUUGAUAAAAAACUUCCACACCUAAAUAAAAAAUGGAUACAAACAAGACGAGCUUUGGGAAUUAAAGCAUUAUAUUUUAUUCUCAAACGUUUAUCUGCAAGAAAAUUGUCACUUCCUUUAAUGUAUUCAAUUUUAAAAGAGUAAAAUGACGAUAGAACCAGCCAUCGAUGUAAUCUUCUGUACUGAGGUUCAGACGGAAGUUUGUUGAAUAUUAAUCCUGAUACUUGAGUAUUGUCGGUUCUGAUAGUGAAUUGUUUUGGUAAAAGAAAAGUAGAAAAUUUUCUUAUCCCUCUGACAAUUGCUAGUAAUUCCUUUUCGUUGGUUAAAUAUUUUACUUCAGCUUCAUUGAAUGUUCCGCUAGUAUAUCUACAGAUUUCAUUUAAAUCUGUAUGUAAUAAUGCACCCCAAUGAUAGUCGGAGGCAUUUGUUUGUAGAAUUAGAUUAUCCUUUUCAUCGGGUAAUCUGAGUUUUGGCAAUUUGGAGCAUUCUUCUUCUAAGUGAUGCAGUAUGGGAUACAACAACUCAAUACUGAACAAACGGAAAACAUGAGUGAAUUUUUACUCUUGUGUGAAUAUUUGGACACUUGUCCAAAAAGGAAUUCAAAUCCUAAAGGGAAUAUCACUCCCAACAAAGUGGCAGGAGAUGUCCCACUAGCACCUAGUGCCAAAAACAUCUCAUCGGUAAGCACGGAUAUGCCGAAUCCUAAGUCUAAGGACGAAGGAAAAAGCCGAGCAAUUGAGAAAUCAAAAGAAGUCACUUCUUCUAAAGAAGAAAAAAGCACAUCUUCAGUAAAAACUGGAAAAAAAAUUCUAAUAUUUUUAAGAAGAUAUACAGAUCUCAAACAUUUGUGCUACACGUGUAUUUCAAGCUAAUUAAUAGUAACUUCUUUAAAAUAUUAGAAUAAAUGGAAGAAUGCAUGUUUAGCUUAGACAACACUACUUAUUAUUAUUGCAAAAGCACAAAUUAAUGGAUAUUCUUGAUUCAAGAGAGAAAGAAACGUUUAUUAGUAAUAUUGUUUUCUAUCAUUAUAACGUUUAUUUCAAUCAUUACUAUAGUCGGUAGUUGUACAAAUAUUCUAAUUUUUUUUUUAUAUAAUCUUAAGUGUUAUAAAAUAUAAGCUCAGAAUAAUAUAAUAUAAAGAGAAGAAGACAAGAUAUGUAGAUGCAGAAGAUGACUUUUCUUCUAUUCAAGUGUGUCCUCCAAAUGACGAAUGAUAUCUCUAUUUAUAGUGUUGAGUUAUCACUCCCAAAAGUCACCAAACUAGUAGAUACAUAGUUAUAAAAAAAUGUUCUUAUCACCUUAAAAAUAUACAUACAUUGUAUGAAUUCAAUUAAUUCUUGAAUAAAUCAAAUGAACAAUUCAUAAUUCAAUGGAUUUAUAAGCAGUUUUUCUAAUAUAUCAAAUAUUCAGCUUAACCAUUUUCUUAUUUUAUAAUAUUUCAACAACUCAGUUUCAAUGUGAACAUCCACAAUAUCGUUUAUGAUUACAAUCUUGAGAAAAUGACCAAAAUGGUCCUUGAUGUGUAAGUAAUGCUUUAUCUUAGUUUUUAAUAUAUUUCACUCGAUUGAAAUGGUCCUUAACAUAUAAUAAUGGUGUUUAUUUUGGUCCUUAAUUAAUAUAUUUUACUUGAUUGAAAUGGUCCUUAUUGUAUAGCAAAAAUGUGUUCAUUUUAAUCCUUUAUCUUAAACUUAACAGAUUAAUCAAAAUAAAAGUGUUAAAUUUAACUAUGGACCCCGCAUGGCUAAUAAAAUCCACCAUUGUUGUCUUCUUUGUUAGCUCCAAACAAAAACUCCAUGAAUCUAACACCAUUAUAUUUACUUUCUCUAACAAAAUUUACUAUUUUCUCUUGCUUAAAACAUAAAUGGGUAUAGGUCAGUGGAAUAAUAUUUUAGGAAAGAGAAAAUAGUAAAUUUUGUCAGAGAAAAUGGUGUUAGAUGUUAUGUUGUUCUUUCUUUGGGGCUAACAAAAAAGAUAACAAUAGUUGAUUUUGUUAGCCACGUAGGGUUCAUAGUUACAUUUAAUACUUUUAUUUUGAUAAAUCUGUUAAGUUUAGGGUAACAAACCAAAAUGAACACUUUUUAUUAUACAUUAAGGAUCAUUUCAAUCAAGUAAGAUAUAUUAAGGACCAAAAUGAGCACAUUUGUUACAUUCACAUUAAGGACCAAAAUACAAUAGCACCCAUACAUUAAGGACCAUUUUCUCUUCAAAUCUUCAUGUCUUAAAGUUUGUCCGUUGUCUUGAAGAAAAUGUAUUCUCCGUUUUAUUACAUAUGUAUAUAUAUUAAGAAGUUGGUAUUGAAUAAAAAUAGUAUUUCAUACAAAUUGUAGAGAAAUUUUAUUAAUUAAUACAUGUCUUCGUUUGAAUGGCUAGUAGAUCAUGUUAAUAUUAUGGUAUACACUUACAAAACUCUGCAUAUGGCGGAAAAAUGACACUCUAUUCUCUUUCCUACCCUCCAUGCACAAGCAUAGUAGUCAGCUUGAAACCUAGUUUUCAUUGCCACUCCGACCACUAAUCAACAUGCUCCGAUGGCUGAUCAGUUUAUUGCUCUAGCCUCUACAUCUCAACUACUAACGAAAAUAUUCUUCUCCAUUAAAUAAUAAAAUAAAAAGAAAUAUUUAAGAAGAACAAUUUCACUAUUUAAUUAAAAGCAAGAACUAGGAUAAUUUUCAACAUCAAAUAACUAAAAAAAAGUAGAAGAAGAACUUAAAGAAAUAUAUGGAGUGCUUUGCUUCUGCGCCUUUUUACUUCUUUAGCAGCUCAUUUUCUCGUGUUAUUUAUAACAAUUCUCUGAAGAUGGAAAUCAUAUUUUUCUCUUAAUUUGUCCACUUUCAUGUUGAGAUUUUUGACAAAUUUAAAAUAAUAAAUCCAAUGCAUACCAACAUUUGACAAGUUUUCUUUCCAGCUUUUCUUUUGCUUUGUUUUCCAAUUUGAUGGGUUCAAUGCUACUACAAUUUUCAACUUUUGUUUUCCAUAUUUGCUGCAUCUUCCUUUAAUUUAUUUCUUUCUUAUUUUUUUUUUCUUUACCUUUUUAGCUUGUGGGUACCAUAAAAAGAAAAAUGUAUCCUACUCUUUUUCAUAUUUGCACAACUUCUCGUUCCUAUCUUUCGUAAUUCUUUAAUAUCCUCAUUUGUGUUGGAUAAUUUCUUGUAAAUCAGCACUUGUAUUUGUUUUGCCACAUAUCUACUUAGUUGAUGUUUUCUUGUUGUAUUGCAAUAUUUUCUGUAAAGAAAGAUUAAAAAUAUUAAUAUUAAAAUUAAAUAACAACUUAGUAUAUAUAUGAUAUUUUUCUCUUAUCAGGCAUCUUGAUUGAUCCAAACCCCCUAUAAAACUAUCUUAGAAAACAAUUUAGUAGUACUCAAUUCCACUUAUAAUUUUUGGUUUCAACAAGAUUAGCUUAUACAAAAUGCUAUUCUAGAAACUGUGGAAGAGACCAUUGACAGUACAGUCACUUGUGCUCUAAAUGUAAAAGUCGCUUGGGACGCCUUGCAUUCUGCUUUUGCAAAUAAAUCUCCAACUUGUAUCUUUAGUUUUAGAGAUUGUCUAGCCCGUCUUUCCAAGAACUCUCAUCUUGUUGCAGGUUAUCUCCAUCAAGUUUGGUCUCCUUGUGAUGAACUUGACAUUGUUGACUCCUCUGUCUCCAAUGAAGAAUUUGAUUAUCAAGAUUUUCACUAAUUUUGGAUAUGAAUUUUAAGAAAUUUCAGAUGCUAUUCGUGCUCGAGAUGCGGCAAUACCCUAUGAAGAGCUAUUUUACAAGCUCAAGGAGUUUUUUCCUUCAGCAUGAGGAAGAUAAAAAGAUACAUUCUAUUCCAAUCACUGCCAACAUUGCUCAAGGGACUACUUUCACCCUUGCAUAUUAGGGAUCCACUAAUAACCAGAACACUAAUCGAUGAUCAAAUGCGCAACAUCAAAAAAAUCAUAAUUAAUCUUGGUGUAAUAGUUAGCAACCUUAACACAACAAACAACCUCAAUCGUACUUAUAAUUUCUUGUUUUAACAAGAUUAACUUAUACAAAUGUUAUCCUGGAAAUCAUGUAUGUAACCAUUGAUAGUAUAGUCACUUCUGCUCUAAAUGUAAGAGUCGCUUGGGAUACCUUGCAUUCUUAUUUUGUAAAUAAAUUUCGAACUUGUAUCUAUAGUCUUAGAAAAUUUCUAGCCCGUCUUUCCAAAGAAUCUCAUCUUGUUGUAGGUUAUCUCCAUCAAGUUCGAUCUUUUUUGUGAUAAACUUUCCAUUGCUGGACCCCCCGUCUCCAAUGAAGAAUUUGAUUGUCAAGAUUCUCACUGAUCUUGGAUAUGAAUUUUGAGAAAUUUUAGUUGCUAUCCGCGCUCAAGAUUCGAAAAUACCCUAUGAAGAACUAUAUGAAAAUCUCAAGGAGCUUUUCCUUCGAUAUGAGGAAGCCAAAAAGACACAUUCUACUCCGUUCGUUGUCAACAUUGCUCAAGGGACUACUUUCAGCCCUACACAUCAGGGAUCCACCAAUAGCCAGAACACUAAUCGAUGAUCAAAUGCGCAACAUCAAGAAAAUUAUAAUUAAUAUUGGCAUAACAAUCAGCAACCUCAACACCAAAAUCAACAAAAACAGUCUCCCAACAACAACCUUUACUAUCAACUCUGUGAUGGUAGAGGUCAUACUGCUCGUUUCUGUCGAACACACUCUCACAAUUAUCUUCAAGCGCGUACUAAUUAUGAUGCACACCUCCAUAAUUAAUUAGUCAGUUUCGUGAAUUAUUGACAACGGUGACACCCAUCAUAUUGCCUCAAGACACAUAGAGUCUUGUAGAAUUUUAACGUCUAGGAUUAGAGAAAUCAAGAAUUGUAUUGAUGAUUAAAAUUGUUGAGUACAUGCUCUUUAUAUAAGGAGAGAAUCGUAGAGGCCUAAGUUAACUAUACUUAGAGUCCUACUACAAUACCUAUUACUAAUAUAAUAAUAAUGUAAUUAUAAAUAAUCUAAUCCUAAUCAUAAUAUAAUCCUAGUCGUAAUCUAAUCCUAGUUUACUUCAGCUAGUACAAGAAGUAAAAGCCUAGUGGAUAUAAGUGGCCUAAACUUAGAGUGACUCUAACUCCGUCGUACACGUUGAUUUGAUCAGGUUGUUCAACAUGUUCUGUCUUUAGUUUCCUUUAUAUCCCAUACUUCCCCUCAAGCUAGAGAGUAGAGGAACGAUUACUCCUAGCUUGCUUCGAAAACCCAACAAAAACUUAUUUUGUCAAUGCUUUGGUAUGAAUGUGAUGUCAAGUCGUUACUUGUGAUAGUUCAUUUGUAGAUUGAUAUGAGUAGUCCCACCAGUAAAAACACUUAAGAGUAGUAUGGUUAUUCCUACCACAAAUUUGACAUGACUCAAUAUUGUUCCUCUCCUUAUUUUUACUUGGGAAACUUUGAUUGUUCGGAGAACCUGAUCCAUACUGACUGUUCUGAGAAUCUGUUCCAUGUCCAGUAGGUUUGAGACCUCUUUCUCUGGAGUUGAAGUUGUUGUUUCUUAUUCCCCCGCCUCUUUGGGCAGAGAAUACCAUGUUAUGGUUUUUUUGUGGCACCUCUUCUUCAUCUUCUCUCAAAUCUAAACCCCUGAGAACAUUAAUAAAUUGAUUAAGCGUGUUAUAUGACAUCUUAUCUAACAUGACAAGUCCUGAAGGUCUUGUAUUUGAUACCUAAACCUCUAGAAAAAUUGAUUACUUGUUAUCUUCAUCCACAAGUUUGUGAAUGGCUGCAAGGCCAUCACAUAUGCCUUAGAAUUUUUUGAUGUAUUCAUCAAUAUUUUUGGCUCCUAGCUUAACACUUUGUAGUUAUUGUUUAAGUUGAAACUCCUUAUCUUUUGUUGCUUGAAGAUAAGCUUCUUCUAAGCAUUUCCACAUCUCCUUAGCAGUUGAGCAGCCCACAAUUAGGUACAUGUUUUCUUCUAUCAAGGUGCCUAAGAUCCAACUCCUUAGAAACAUAACUUUCUCUUCCCGGUCAUCAAUACUGCCACUAUUUUUUGCAUUCUUCUCAACCGCUACAACUUUUCCAACAGCCUAGUCUUUCUGACUUCCCGAGUCAUCAAUGAUCAUAUCACAAUAUGAUUUUGAUAUAUUUUUGAGAAAGAGUUUUCAAGUAUGAAUUGAGUAAGAGUAUAAGGGAACUAAGUAAUCCCAAAUGUAUCAGUUUUUACAUUGAUAAAAGAGAAAGAUUGAUUUCCAAAUGAAUUAUGAGUUCAAAAGAUAUUUCAAGAGCAGUUACCUCUUUUAAGAGGGCAGUUUUGAGCAAUUAUCUCAAACCAGAGGAAGAGUUAUGUUUUUAAACAUACGAGCAUGAGUAUAUAUUAUUGGGAGUAGUAUUAAGCACUGAUAUAGGGACGAGUUCAGACAACUCAAAAGUCCUCCAUAAACCAUGUAUGCCAACAUGGGUAAAGGGUCAUACUUUUUAGAUGAUUCCUUAUUUCUUUUUAAUUAAGAAUAGCUUAGUGGAUCCAUUUAGUUGAGGUAUUCUAUACCCCGACAAGGUAUAGGAUAAUUCUGACAGCGUGAGCGAGACGCUGUAUCAUCACAUAGCUCAUAGUGAUUGGUUGUCGGUUAGAGAAUCUCCCAAUAGAGUUAAAAUGUAUUUUUAUAUAUCACUUAUUAUGUUGAGUUCAGAGAAGAGAAAGUAUUUUAUAAAACUUUAAAUGAUUUAACUUCUUUAAUCCUUUACAUCCAGAUGAGUUUAUAUUCUAUCUAUUGCAGUCCUUUCAUUCAGUUAUUUAUUAUUCAACUAUAUUACAUACUCGUACAUUCAAGGUACUGAUGUCAUUCGACCUGCAUCUUUUAAUGAUGCAGAUACAGGUUCUUAGGAUCCUCAACAAGAGCCCAUUGAGAUCACUUUCAUCUACUCGUCAUCUUUUGAGCAAGACCUCCUUGCUUCAGGAGGACUCCAGUUUUAUGAGUUGUUAGCAGUAGUUUCCUUGAGGAGUCGUGUGUCUUGUACCGACACUCAUCUUUGUAUAGUAGAGGCUUCAUAGAUAGACAGUUUUGGAGAGUCUUUCAGUUUCAGAUGUUUUAUUUAAAACUUAUGUUUCAUACUUAGUAUAUUUAGUUAAGUUUUGAGAUUCAGUAAACUGUUUCAAACGUUUCUUUCAGUUUGAUGCUUAUGUAUGCUUGAGUUAGUCUUCCGCUUGUAGUCAACCAAGAUGAGGGUUCGCUUGGGGACCAGCAAUGGUUCUCGAGUGCCGGCCACGUUCAGGGUGUACGCUCGGAUCGUGACAAACAAUCUCUGCUCUUAUGCAAAUGAGAACAAAUAUUGGACCUAUUCCAAUCAAAAAAUAAUUUUCGAUAUAACAAGUUUGCAUUGUCUUUUCGCACUUAGGAAUCUCAUCAAUUGAGAGAUGAGAACAUGUGGUGAAGUGGAUUGAGAAAGAAAUGAAUCGAAUGAAUAUCAUUGAGAAUUUACAAUAUGCAAUGAUUGGUAAAUUCUUACGUGAAUGAUCGAAAUUCGAAGAUUUCAACAAGAAAAUCUUAAAAUAAUGUGGGAUCAAAGGUUAUGUCGUAUUGGUUUACAAGUAUUGUAUAACUAAAUUUAUUAUUAUUUUUAGAUAUAAUACAUAUUUACUUGAUCUAUUGUAUCAAUUUAAUAACUCUCAUUUUCAUCAAUUAGUAUACGUAGGUAUUACAUUUAUUUUUAGCUUUAGUUUCUAUUUUUCUAUAAUCUAUUCAUUUCAUAUGUAUUUUGUGCUAUACAACACAAGUAUACUAAAAUCAAAAGAAACACAUUAUUUCCAUUUAAAUAACUAUAAUAUUACAUAUAUCAUAAUUUCAAUUACAAUACUCAAUCUUCUUAUAUGCCAUGUCGUCUUUAGUGUUGGCACAACAAACACGUACAAUACACAUACAGUGAACUAGUUUUAAUAAACAAACUUAUAACUUAAAAUCCAUUGCCCUCUCAGAAAUAAAACUACUGGUAAAUAAAAAUUUUAAUAGAAAAUAUAUAUAAUAUAUGUACUUAAAAUUAUUCAAAUAAAAAAUAGUAUUAUAAAUUUAAUUUAUCUGUUUGAUUCGAAUUCUUUUUAUUUUUGAAAAUAAAAUCAGAAUCUGAUCAAGCACUAUCAGAUUCUUUAAAAUUAGUAUCAAGUUAAGCUAAAUCCCCAAAAAAAAAUUAAUUUAAAUAGGCAUUUGGACUUGCGAAUUGCGAUAUGAAAUCACGAUAUAAAAUCAUAAGAUGAAUUCGGACAUAUAUGAUUUCAAUUUGAAUCGAUUUUUAUUCUGAAGCCCUAAUUAUGACACCAAACUUGGAGGAGACAUACUAAAUUUUAUUUUAUAUUAAUAUAUAUAGAUUGUGAUUUGAUAAAACAUUCUCUGUAGCUUUAAGCCUUUCCCCUGCAUCCACAUUGUUGUCAUCGAAACUCCACUAACUACAUCUUUCCUUCUCCGGCGGUAACCAUGCAAGCUAUCCAAUCUUCAUCUCUCCGGCCAUCUCCGGUCGACCCAUUUCUCAAAACCAUACCCCAAUUCACCAAUGUAAAGCCAUUGAGACCCAAAAGAACCCCUUUUAUCUCAGCUUCAUCCACUACAGUUUCAGCUCCGACAAGGGAAAAAGACCCCAAAAAGCGUGUUGUUAUAACUGGGAUGGGUCUUGUUUCUGUGUUUGGGAAUGAUGUUGAUGCUUAUUAUGAUAAGUUAUUAGCUGGUGAAAGUGGGGUUACUCUAAUUGAUCGAUUUGAUGCUUCGAAAUUUCCUACUAGAUUUGGUGGACAAAUUAGAGGCUUUAAAGCUGAUGGUUAUAUUGAUGGUAAGAAUGAUAGAAGGCUUGAUGAUUGUCUCAGGUAUUGCAUUGUUGCUGGGAAAAAAGCACUGGAAAAUGCGGAUCUUGGUAUCGACAGAGAUAAAAAGGUUUUGAUUUCAUGUUUAAGUUCUUGAAAUUGCUUUGGUUAUCUUUGAGAUGAAAAUGGGGUUUGAUGUGAUCUGUUUUAUUGGUAUUUUGGCUCAUUACAAGGGAAUUUAUGGGUUUGGAUGCUUACAUAUGUAUAUUUUUUGGUUAAUCUUUUUUGUCUCUUAAGCUUUUGAAUUUGCUUUGGAGUUGUGUGAUAUGUUUGAUUGGUAUUUUUACUCUGUUCCUACAUUUUGUUAGUAGAAUUAGAGAAGGUAACCAAAUGAAGGAGAAGUAUCCAUGUCUAGCUUUCCUCUAAUACAAUGGUAUCUUUAGCUAAUCCAUGCCCAUCAACAUUUACUGGAAUAAUACAGUAGAUUCUAUCCGGUGGAAGGGACAUCUCAAAGGUGUCUUUCAAUCAGUGAUAGAGUUUUUUAGUCUUGGAAAAAGAUCUUCUUUAGCAAGGGUCCUUUGAAGGUCUCCUGCUUCUCUUGGAUUGGGGCUAGGGAAGCUUGUCUCACUCAUUCCAACCUUCAAAAGAGGAGUUUUUAGCUUUUCAGUAGGUGCCCAAUGUGUGAGGAACACUAUGAAGAUGUUGGACAACUCUUCUUGCAUUGUAGAGUAACUAGUCAGUUUUGGUGCAUGUUUUUGGCUAUAUUUAGCUUGUCUUGGGCCAUACCAAGAUCCAUUUUUGAGCUACUGCAAUACUGGAACAUAGUGUGGUUGUCCAAGGAAUUGCGAAAGACUUGGAAUACCAUCCCUCAAGCUGUUUGGUGAACUGUAUGGCUUGAAAGAAAUAGCAGAAUUUUUUAAAGGCAACAGAAGGAACAUACAUAGCCUUAAACAAAGAUGUAUAGUCUUGCUAACUUUUGGUUCAGCCUGGUUAUUGUACAUGAUGCAGAUGCAAUCCUAGAUACAAUAGAGAAUUUGCACAAUCUGGAAUUACAUUUUGUGGUACUGGCUUAGUGCAAGUACUUAUGAAAUCCUUGAUUACUUAUUAAAAAAAUUGACAAAAAAUGGACCAAACUACUCAGGUGUAGCAAGUUAUGUUUAGUUUAAUAUAUAUAUAUAGGUGGAAUGACCUGGGAGACCCUUGUACUUGGCUCCGUUUGUCAGUUGAACCUCCUACUCAUCACUUUGCCAACCAAACCCUUAAACUCAUCCGAACACAAUAUUUUAAACCCCUCUAACCAUUGACCUAGCUUAUGUGACAUUAAUAUUGGUGAGUUGGAAAUAUGUGUGAAUACACGUGCUUGAAAGCGAGUUAAAACAAUAUUUUGCUUUUAAAAAAAUCAAUUAACAAAAUUAAAAAAUAAGAUUCAUCCUCUUCAACCCUCCUUCACCCACUUGCCCACUCACCCACGACUUUCUUCUCCUCCACCAGCCCUCUCUCCUCUACCACAGCCCUCAACUUUCUUCUUUCUCCAGCCCCACAUUCACUCUUCUCCGCCUCUUCUUCUUCUUUUUUUGUAUACAAAUCAGUAGCCUCAACUUCUUCUAAAAUUUUCAUUUUUUAGGUUUGAAAAAUAUUAGUACCAUUAUUUUAUUUGAUGGUUUCAACGAGGAGAUGUGGAUAAUCUGAAGGAUGAUUGUGACUAUUGAAAAUUUCAAAACUUCAUUGAUAAGCUUGAAAAAGCUUAAAAAAUAAUAAAUGGGUCUUGUGAAUUUGUAAAAAUAAUAAAUGGGGUUCAUUGAGUUUGUGUUGGUGAACUUGUAGUUGAAUUUACAAGUUAAAUCGAGAAGAAUUGGAUCUAAUGGGUAUGAAUUUAGUGCUCAAUUUGUGACCAAAUAUGAAGAAGAUGACUAUUUGAAAAGUUUAAGAAAUUAAAAAAUUGAUCUAUUUGAUUUUUUAUGUUUUUAGCAAUUAAUUUCGUACGUGGCACUAAAAAUGAUGUGGAAUUCCACGUGUAAUCGCGUCCAUUACACGCACACUUACCGGAGGAGAAAAGGGCUUAAAAUGUUGUGUUCUGCUGGCUUUAAGGGUCUAGUUGUCAAAGUAAUAAGUAUGAGGGUUCAGCUGACAAACGGAGCCAAGUACAGGGGUAUCUCAGGUCAUUCCGCCUAUAUAUAUACGAUGAUUCCAGCAACCCAAGAAGUAGCUAUUGUCUUAAAGAUCUACUUAAGAUUAAAAAUAUUACCUUUUCUCACCUUUUGAACAACAAUAGAGGUGUAUAUUUUCAUAGGUCUCUUACGUCAUGAGCUAUAUGUUAAGGGGUCGUUUGGUAGAGUGUAUUAGAAUAAUGCUAAAUAAAGUGUAUAAGUAAUGCUUGCAUUAGUUAUGGAGAGAUUAUUUCUUAUGCAUUGUUUGGUUUGGUGUAUUAAAAAUAACAUGUGUUGCAUUAUUUCUAAAAAUAUAUUUAUUUACAAAAAUACCCUCUACAGAUACAUUGGAAAAGAUGUACAAAAACUUUUUAGGGGCAAAUGCGUCUUUAACUAUGCUAAUGCAUGCAUUGAAAGCACUUGCAUUACUAAUACCAUGGAUUUCCACGUAUUAGUAAUACACACCUCAAUACACAAUAGAGUACUAAUACACAAAGCUGAUGCAUGUAUUAUUUUUACUAAUACACUCUACCAAACGAGCCCUAAAGUCUUUAAUUUAUUUGUGAAAGACCAGAAUGAUAUUAUAAUUCUUCAGCAGUUUUACUGGAUUUGUUCAAUAAUCAAAGUCAGCUGCCUCCUCAGUAUGUAGAGAUUUUCCAUACAAGCAGCACAUAUUGUUAACAAAAUUAAUUGAGAGUAAAAAUUUCCCAGUGACCUCCUGACAGGAUGGUCUUCGAAUAGUUGUUGUUCAGACAAUCUCCCACUGCAUGUGUAUGGUAUAUGUAGUCCUACGACUAUUUUAGAUAUGUUCUCAUAUAUUGGUACUCAUUGAUGUCUCCCUCGAUUUCAACUUGGUGUCUCCAUUGUUUUAUUAAUCAGCCAUUUGUAAUUAUAGGUACUACAUCUACCUCCACUAUGCGGCUACCAUAAAACUUGUUCUUGAUUAGCAAACUAAGGCAAUGGGAGCCAAGAUUGGAGUUGAGGCUCCAGUAGAGCUUCCUUGGAUUCCUUAUUCUCCAGACUAACCUUCUUACUUUCCGCUCUUUCCGUGCCUUUUGGUAGCGGACCAUAUGCUUGCUAGUUAAUUGGUGCUAUUAUUGUCCAUGAAUCUCCCCUGAAUUUUAGAACUUCACACCUAUAUAUCGUCCAGUUUAGCUUCUAUGUUUUUUUAAUAUUUGAAAUCUACGGAAUAUGGAAUAAACCCAGUUGUUGUGAUGUUGGAACUUCACUUCAUGAACAAACUCUCUGGUCUCUUAUCUUCUGAUUUUGUGCUUUGACAUCUUUUCAUAUUCUUUUUCUGCCUAAGCUUUCUGUGAGUGGGUUAAAAUAGUCAAUACUAAUGGUCUUAGCAAUGAAACAUUGUCCGCUGUUGAUUCUUUUAGUUACUGCAUUUGAAAAUCAUGCUUACUAGUGGACAAACCUUCUUUGUCUGGAUUUGUUUCUCUUUUCAAGUAGGAAAGAGUUUUAAGUUCUUUAGUUCUAUUUUGACUACAGAUUGAUAAGGAGCGAGCUGGUGUUUUGGUAGGGACAGGAAUGGGUGGUCUUACAGUUUUUUCAGAUGGCGUCCAAGCCUUAAUCGAAAAGGGUCACAGGAAAAUUACUCCAUUUUUCAUACCAUAUGCCAUAACAAAUAUGGGUUCGGCCUUGCUUGCAAUUGAUGUUGGUUUCAUGGGACCGAACUACUCGAUUUCAACUGCUUGUGCUACCUCCAACUAUUGUUUCUAUGCUGCUGCAAAUCACAUCCGUCGAGGUGAAGCUGAUUUGAUGAUAGCUGGUGGAACUGAAGCUGCCAUAAUUCCUAUUGGGUUGGGAGGUUUUGUGGCAUGCAGAGCUUUGUCUCAAAGAAAUGAUGAUCCUCAAACUGCUUCUAGACCGUGGGACAAAGAUAGAGACGGCUUUGUUAUGGGAGAGGGAGCUGGAGUGUUGGUAAGUUAGCUGAAGUGCUUAUUAAAGUUUGAUAACAUGGACAUCCUCUAAGCUAUCUAUCUUUGUUGGACCAAUGUUUUGUGUUGUCCUGUUUUUUAACAAUUGAUGUUUCUUUCCUUCAUGAACUAAUUAAAUAUGUUAAGAAAAUGAACCUUGGGCUUAACUCAACGCAAAGCUAGUUCAUGAGGUAGGGAUUGCCUAAGACUACAUAAGGAGACAACAACAUAUAUCCUCCAACAGGAACCCCUUGACAUAAACUCUUUUUUUUUUUUGAAAAAAUCUUAAGUGCUCUCUCAUUGCUCGGUGGAACACAGUUUUGGACAAAGCACUGCCUUAUCGUAUCACUCUCAUAUAACAUGAUCACCUUUGGGAAUACAUCAUGACAAUUGGAUGGAGUUGUUGACAGGUGAUGGAAAGUUUGGAGCAUGCAAUGAAACGAGGAGCACCAAUAAUUGCAGAAUAUUUGGGUGGUGCAGUAAAUUGUGAUGCACAUCACAUGACUGACCCUAGAGCUGAUGGACUUGGUGUUUCUUCAUGUAUCCUUAGUAGCCUUGAAGAUGCUGGAGUGUCACCAGAAGAGGUAUUUUUGGUUCUCUUCGUACACUCAUUUGAUGUUCUACUUUUGUUAUGUCCACUCAAUAGUCAAGAAACAGUAACUGGGCUGCAGGAAAGAACAAAUUGCUGUAGAUUUAGACAAUAUAUAUUAGGUCAUAUCUGUUGUCCUUCAGGCACUAAAUCCAACAUUUGUACUUCCGUAUUCUUCAUUUCAUGAGCUAUUCAUCAUUAAGUAAAGCGUAAUGGACAUAGAAAAUGUAGUGCUGACAUCAAUAAUAUGUUUUAUCAUGAGACACGGACCUUGUUUGAGGCUUUUACUUUGUACACUUCUUCUCUUGGAAAUGUAGGACUCAACAUUUCUUAUUUCUUCAUUAGUCUGAAAGAACACUUGUAGCAUCUGAGCUUGUUCUAAAUUUCCUUAGCAAUAUGAAGUGCCUUGUUUUUUAGAUAAGUAUAUAAGGUUAUUAUAUGGACAAUAUGGGGAAAUCUUUGUACAUAAAUAGUGUAGAAAGUGAGCAUUCUAACAAGAAAGCCAGAAAUAGGGCCAAAGGUAAGGACCACAAAGUUAUACCAGAGAAGCCUAAGCAUACAACAUAGACAGGUGUCCCUUUAUGUGAAACGAAGAAUGGAGCAAAAAAGGAGAAAAGUUGCACACAACAAAGAAUUUUGUGCUAGAAAAUGUACAAACCAAAUUGUCCUCUGUCCAUUUUAUGUGAAGAAGAGGAUGUUCUGAAUGUGCAUCACUGAAUUUCUUCUCCCUCAGAGGUGCACCUAUUCCUUUCCUUAUACUUGCAUGUGGAAUAACAUUGCUGACCCUCUUUCUAUUCUUUCUUAUUACGGUUGUGUUUGGCUAGCUUGCGCAUACCUCGACUAAUUCCACUAUGUACUUGCUAACUCCACCAACACAAGUACCAAAUAAUUUUGCCCAUCAAGACUUUGGCAGAUGGGACGAAGCACCUAUCUAUUGCCUCUAAACUCCAGUUUUUGGAAAAAGGGCCACACUACACCCAACAUAACCCAGUUAAUUCCCUGCACAAUAACAUUAGAGUAGUGAAUUCCAUAAUUUGUCAACAAAUUUGCAGUGUAGGAGUAGAUGGCCUACUUCUUCACCAGCUUCUUACACAAGCAAUAAACAAUAUUCUCUCGAUCGAUCGAUUUAAUUCCAGGGUAAAUGGCCAGCUUCUUUACAACAUAAAAUAAUAAUCGAUAGAAGCUCUACUUCUCUUGUUUAGGCUUGAAUUCUGGGAAGCUGUUUGUUCAAACUAUGCUACUUCCUAGAUUUGUUGUCCUAACAGUUGCAUGAGAGAGCCACUACUGACCCUUAUCAAAGAAAAAAAUUGACAGAAAAUGUUUUAGACACAUGCUUCCUCCCAUUUUGGCCUCCCUUCCAGUAUCCUGCAAAUUAGGAGAAUAUAUAACUGCCAGGAGUUCUUGUUCCCACUCCGCCAAUUAAGAGAAAUUUGAUGAAUUCAGUCUUGAGGAAUUAUCUUCUCUUCACUGGUGAUCCCAAAUAAGGAUAUUUUCAUGCUUUUCCACCAUUAUCUAGCAUGAUUAGUAGAUACAUCUUAGAUAUUCAUAAAACUCCUCCAUAAAGCUAUCCUAGAAAGGCUAGUGAUGUUUUAAAUUUUCCUGAAUGUUGUCCUCAGAUAUGUCCCUAUCACCUUUCUUAACAAAGCCUUCUCCUCUACCUCGUUUUCUCCACGAUCAUUUCUCAAAUAGAGCUUUACGAAGCUCCUUAACAUCCCUCAUCCUCAAAUUAUCAACCUUAAUAGAUGUCAUUCACUCACUCAAAAAUACUAUGAAUUUUCUGUACUUCCUUUAAAUCCCGCAAAAGUGUAGUGUUAUCAAAGGCGAAAAGCGUAAAAAAGCUCUAAGGUCCGUGGGGACUUUAAGCGCAAAGCGCAAAUAAAGCGUGGGCUUUAAUGAAAAAAGCUCAACAUUAGUAGUGCUAAUUUUCAACAAAUUGCAUUAGAUGAGAAAACUAAACUAAAUUCUAAGAAAAUAUAAAUAUCUUGGUCGAGAUAUUUAUAAAAAGAGAACUAAAGAUAUCUUGGUCAAGAUGUUUAUAAAAAUAAAACUAAAAAAAUCUUGGUCAAGGGAAAAGAAAUGACCAACAUAUCUUUAUUG